This 74115-nucleotide long non-coding RNA is filed under the name Citrus x clementina. Its description in RNAcentral is "Citrus clementina (C. clementina) long non-coding RNA (CCLE_LNC004134)". The record is from RNAcentral. Lineage: Eukaryota; Viridiplantae; Streptophyta; Magnoliopsida; Sapindales; Rutaceae.
CAUAAUAUUCAUUUACCCGAAUGUCAUAUCCCUUUUAUAUUUUUAAUUUAACAAAUCCUAGAUUAUCUCUUUUUACUUCACACGUCGGCUACUAGUUGCUCACGAGCCAUUGAUCACACCGGUUGUUGCUUGUUCACGGGACAUUGAUAUAGUUUAUUCCCGACUUUGCUAUCUCCUCUUCAGCAUUACAGCUUCUUCUUUUCUUAUUUAACAAAUCUUUCUUUUUAUCUUUCUCUCGGUGCAUUAAUAACUACAUGUGUUAGCUUUUAUUUUAUGAUAUCAAUUAAUGGUCCAAAUGUUGCGUGAACUGUGGAAGUUUUCUUCUUUGCUUGAGUUAAAUGAAAAUUUGAAAUAUACUGAUAAUUUGGUGUUCGCAUGUUAAUUUAUGGAUAAUUCGACAAAAUUCACAUGUAGAAAUUACUUUUGAAAUUCGUGGGUUAAAUAAAUUUUUAUGGACUAAAAAUUCAUUUCAAACACCUGCCAUUUCUUUUAAACUAAUACUUACUAGGUAAAAAUGGUUAUUGUUUCAAUUACUUUGAUUUGUGAGUGUAUAAUUUGAUGAAUAGUGGAUUUGAAAUAUUCCGUAAACAACACUUUGGUCAAUAUUUGUGAGUGCAAGAUUUGAUGUCCCAUGCCAACACAUGUAGUAGAAUUUAGUAUGGGUGGUCGAUUUUUAAUCCCAUAUUGUAGUAAACUUCAUCCUACACAUUAGAGACCUUAGUGUGUACUCACAAUUAGGUAUGAGCUCAAAUAAAAUGUAUCAAACUCAUUUGAGUUCCACAUUUUAUUUAAGUUUGAUAACAAUUGUUUACAUUCUAUUUCAAAAUCACUUUUAUUUUUUUUAACCAAAAGAGAAAAAUGGAAUUCCCAAAGACAAGCUGACUAAUAACAGAGAAGAAAUAAAUCGCGAAGUGACUGAUGAUGAUGAUGAAUAGGAGACAUAGCACAUGUUUUGAAUAGUGCUUAUUUUUUCUUUUUUUUUUUCUGCGCGCUUGAUGCUCAUUAUGAUGCUAUCAUGGUCAUACAUAAUGCACACUAUUUACUUAUUUAAUGCUUUAAUUGUAUUAAUUUGUAGAUUUAUGAUGAUGAUCUAAUUCAAGAUUGAAAGCUUAAUUGUAAGUCAUUACAAACAAGCCUUAUUAGAAGAAUAAUUUUUUUUUGUUUUUGAGUUUGAAAUUAAUUUGUAAUUUCAAAUGAUAGUUUCUUUUUUGUGAAUUUGUAGUUAUGAUAUUUGUUAUUUGGAUGUUUAUUAUUUCUAAUUUAGUAUAAAAAUCUGAUAUUGAUUUAACUAUUUUAUAUUGUUAUUUUUUAUUUCAUAUUUUUUUGCUUUCUUUUCAUAUGAUAAAAAUUAAAUAUUCGUGGAUAUUCGUGUCCAUAUCCAUAUCAAAUUUUAAAACUUAGAUAUAAAUAUGGACAUAUUCAUCAUAGCUAAUUAUGAAUUUACAUUUGGAUGGAUACUUGCCAUCGAUAGAUUAGAGUAGUUUGAUCAAAUGGCGCUCGACGAACUGGAUAUUGGUAGGAUGGUGUGUGUAUAUGUGUGUGUUUGUGUGUGUGUGUGUGUGUGUGUGUGUGUGUACGCGCGCGUGUGUAUGUAUAUGAGAAUUGACAAUCAGCAAGAAAAGGCUUUAUUAUAUGCUUAACAAAAGUGCUAGGCGUGUUUGAUAUCUCGAAAACAACAUCACCAUCCAUUAAUAACACUCCUCCUCUUACAUUUUUUAACGCCGUCUUUUAAAGGAGGCAAAAUGGGUUGAUGGGUUGAAUUUGUGUCAAAUCCUAAAUAACUUAUUGUUAAGUUUUGGAAUUUAAAUUCAAUCUAUUUAUUAAACAAAUAAUAAUAUAAAUUAUUUUUUGAUUUUAUUCCUUUAUCUUUAAGUAACAAAUGAAUCGAAUCGAAUUUUGAUUGGUUUAGUUUGUUCAUCUAUAAUCAUACUUUUAUUUUUGUCUUUUCAUCAGUUAAUUACAAAACUAGUGUUACCGCUUAAUGAUUUUUGUAUUAAAUUUAAAAUUAUAAAUUUGACUAAGAAUCUUAAUUAACAAAUAUUAAUUUUUGAAUAUGAGUUCCUUAGGAAGCAAAGAAUCAAAAUUUUAUUUCAAAAUAAAAUGCUAAACUCCGAAAUAAUCCACUCUUCUAUAUCAAUCGUCCUUGGUGCCCGGGAUUUUUCUCAAGGACUAGCUGAGCUUUUGACAUAAUAUUUCUUAUUUUGCCAUUUACUCUCUGAAUAUGAUAUACUAAUAAAUAAUCUCUCACCAUCAAUGAUUAUUUGCAGAUAAAGAAGAUAGAUCAAAUGGAACACAUGAAAUACAUUUGGUGCAAAAAUGUGGGCUCUAAUCAGGAAAAUGACGAACCAAAAUACCAACACGAAGAAAAGUUUUUAUUGUUCGUAAACAUGCAACAUCAAUGCAACUUUUAUUAUUACGACUUUAUUCAUUUAUAAAAGCAUGCGUGUAACUUUAAAACGAAACAAACUUUAAUUCAACUUAUUUAAUUUAUAUUAAUUUCAAUUUAUAUGAUUUACUUAAUUUACAAUAAAUUUGAAAAAAGUGUAUUGAAAAAUAAAAUAUGAAAAAAGUGUAUUGAAAAAUAAAAUAAAGUAAUGUUAUUUAAUAAUGGUGUCUAAUGGUUAUUAUUUAUUAUAAAAAUAAUACGAAAAUAAAUAAUAUAUAUGUUUAUUUUAGUAAAGAGAAAAUUAACAAUCUCUUUUUUUAUAGAAAAAUUUAUCGGUAUAUCAUCUAUGUAUGGAUUAUCCAUUACAGUCCCAUGGUUGGCUUCUUUAAUUCUACAUAUUUUAUUUUAUGCUAUAAUCGAGUCAAGUUCAUAGAUUCUUAUGGUUCCCGUCAAAUCAAAAUCCUGCAUUACAAGAAAUUAAUGCAUAAUUUUUUCUUACUGGAAUUGAACUAUCACAAUGAUUUAAUCUCCUUCGUAAUUUAAAAUGAAAAUGUUGACACCAAUCAAGAAAAUGAUGAACCAAAAUACCCACAUGAAGAAAAAAAUAUUUAUUAUUCAUAGACAUGCAACAUUGAUGCAACUUUUAUUAUUAUAACUUAGUUUAUUCAUUUAUUAAAGCAUGCGUACAGCCUUAAAAGAAAAAAAAAAACUUUAUUUUUAACUGGAAGCAUUUGCGGAGCUCUCAGCAGCUCGAUCUUCAAACCUUUUUAAACACAAUUUUGAACGGAACAUCACUCAAAGCCAGACGCCGCACCCCACCAUUAAUAAAAAUGCCAACAUCUCUGCACAAACCUCUGCAGAAAUUACAAACCGAAGGACAGUAGACAAGCUUGUAAUCACCAAAAAACUUCUCAAUCUUAAACCAAUUUCUCAUGGUUCUGGGGCCGGGAUUGCCUUCAACUCCCCCAGUUGUCAAAAGCCACUGUCCUAAUACCGCAUCAAAAUUGUCAAGCUUCCACACUGUGGACUGCGCACAACUUGUUGCAGCGUCAAAUUUGAUAUUUAAGUCGGUGGACUCACGAACAACGCCUUUUUUAGGGUUAACGGGCGAAAAUGUUACCGGCAAACCAUUUUUAAAUGAGUGCUGCUCUUGAACAACAUCUAGGGGACAUGUCUUAUUGUUGCUUCUGCCAGCAAGUGUAAGCCCGCCGCCUCGGCCCUUUGUAACGGGCAAGAUAUAGUACUUACUGCCAGUUCGGAGCUGCUUACCGGCGAUGUCCAGCACCGGAUCAGGUGAAGCAUUGCCGUUGACAGGCAAUGGCGUUGCAAUGAAGGCAAAGAGAAGGAUCAGCGAGGGUAAGACUAGUGUACUUCUCAUUGUUAUAUCGUUAUAUUUUUUGUUCUUAUCUUUUGUUGUUGCGUGUAAAUAACCCUUAUGAGGCCAAAUUUAUAGAGUUAGGCUAGUAUAGUUAAUUGACGGACAGCAAGUUGGUUUGAUUCGCCUAAUGUCCGAUUCCAGAAGCCAAUGGUCGCCCAUACGACAAGAACGGAUUAUCACUCUCUGCUUUGUGUACUGUAAUUAUUAUUAUUUUUUUCCCGCCUAAACAGCCUGAUAAGAAGAUUUAAUACAAAUUCAACAAUAGAAAGCGUAGUCUAGUAAGAAAGUCAAAGAUUUAAUUUAGAGUUAGAAGUCAAUACCCUUAUCUUUUCUCGAACACUAAAUUUAACGGAAUUUAGAUCUGAUUCCCGUGUCUUUGUUGAUGGUUUCGUCAUUUUGUUUUGCCUGGUAUAUAUGUUUAUUCUUAAAAGCACAAGUUUUUAGCUGAAGUUGACCUGGUCAAGCGACGAGUUUAUUGAAAAAUUAAAGUAGCAAAGAAAUGACAAAGCAUAUGUCCAGCGAGGCACAACGUGAGCCCUGUCCUUUAAUUUAAAAUUUGCACCAAGAAUUUGAAAACAAAAAAUGAUGUAAAAAGACAUACAAGCGAUGAUCAAAACAUGUUACCAGCAGAUCUAUUGGCUAUGUUCAUAUGGAGAUAUCUGCUAGUAUUAUAUUAUGUGAAAUUAACAGCCGUAGACAGAUUUUGUAUAAAAAAUAUUAAAAGAUUUUGUAUUUGUUUAACUUUUCACACUAAGUUUUCAGAAUAAAAUAAUAGAUUAAAAUUUAAAAAAAAAAUUUAUUACCAAUAUUCAAUUAAAUACAUUUAAAACUCUAAUGUUUUCCUUAAAUAAGAAAAGAGAAAUUAUCAGCCAUGUACCAUUAAAUGACACCAGUAUCAAACGUGCUACAACACUUUUCAAGUGUAUCACUCGUAUACCCUAAGUUGACAAAACACUUCUGCCGUCCACCAAUCCGUUAAUUGCCGUUUGCGAGCGCUGAUAUCAUAAGGGCAUUCUAGUCUUUUAAAAAAAAGACAUGUCAUCCCAUUUACCUAGUAAAAAACGAUAUGUCAUAUGAUAUAUUUUGAUAAAAAUGACAUGUCAUCCCAUUUAUCUAAUAAUUGCUAAAAAAAAGCUACUUUACAACCGAAUCUACUCCUCCAAAAUUUAACCUAAAUUAUUGAAGAUCUACUCCUCCAAGCUCAAACUUGAAUUUUUUAUGGUAUAAUAUGUAUAAUUAUAAAUAAUAUGUUGUUAAUAAUUUUUUAUGGUAUAAGAUGAAUAUUUUUUAUGGAUAAUUGUUAAUAAUAUGUACCAUUAGUAAUUCAUAUUUUUUAAUAAAAAAUGUAUUGUUAAUAACAAAAUAUAAAAAAAUUGUGUAUAGAAAAUUUACAUUAAUUUUCAAGGUAAAUUUAUUUUUUUACCUCAUUUUGAGUUUAAAGGGUAAAAUAGUCAUUUUGCUCAAAUUUUGUUAAGUUCUUAACGGAAGUAAACGGAAAGGUGGAUGCCACAACUCUUUUGUCAACUUAGGGUAUACGAAUGAUAUAAGCGAAAAGUGUUGUAGCACGUUUGAUACUGGUGUCAUUUAAGGGUAUAUGGCUGAUAAUUUCCCAUAAGAAAAAAUAUAUAUAUAGUUUGUCUUCUCAGUUUAUCUUCACAAAUUUACACAAUCUAUCCUAAUUGGUGGACACCCAAUCAAUUUAGCCAAUUCAUUUUCUUAAUUAAAAAAAGCUAAAUUAAAUUUAAUUAUUUAUGGUGCAAAGUAAAAAAUACCAUUGAAUUCAAGGGUAGAAUUGUCAUUUUACUUAAAUUCUGUUAAGUAUUCUAAGGGUGUGAACGUUUUGCUGGAUGAUUGAUAUAAAUUACAAGCUUAGGGUCGAAAAUCAAAUAAAUUCAAACUUUUGCAAUAUUGUUUUAUAACAUGUAAACUUAGGACACGUUGCUUAUAAUUUUUCAAAAUUUUAAGUGCUUAAGACUACAGUAUAUAUCCUUAAUAUGGUUUCAACUAAAGCGACUACAAAAUCCACUUAAGAGUUUUAGACGGGCAAAAAGCCUAGUCUAAAACACUUGCUCGUUGGGGAUCUCUAGCUAAGACAAGGCCUUAUUGGCCUAAUGAGAAAAAACUGGAAAUAAGAAUAGUGAGUUGUUAUUUUAUUAGAUACUCUAAAAGAUCCGCGAGAUACAAGUUUUAUGAUUCCGUGACUACGUCAAUUUUUGAGUUGGAAAAUGCUCAGAUGUCGAGUUUGCGGGUGUGAUAUGGCUAGAGACUUUGUCUUUGAAGAGGGAUAUAUUAAUAUUCCCAUAGGUGUUAUUAGCAUUGAUCAAGGUCUUGUUUCCUUAUACAAGAAGUAGUUCUAGAAGAACAAACUCUACCACCUCAAGAGCCUACUCUAUUAACGAGAUCCACUAGAGAAAGGAAAAGUACAGUGCUAGAUGACUACAUUAUUUUUCUCCAAGAGCAUGAGGUAAACAUUGGAGUGAUGGAAGAUGAUUCGAUCAUUUUCUGCCAAGCCAUAGAAAGUUCUAACUCUCAGAGGUGGAUUGAUGGUGUGAAUGAGUAGAUGAAGUCUGUGAAGGACAAUGAUGUAUGAGAUCUUGUCCCAUUACCAGAAGGUGUGAAUCCUAUUGGUUGUAGAUACAUAUUUAAGACUAAGAGGGAUUCAAAAGAUAAUGUAGAGCAGUACAAGGCAUGUCUUGUCAGAAAAGACUUUAUAUAGAAAGAAGGCAUCAACUAUAAAGAAUCUUUCUCUCUGGUUUCCAUAAAAGACUCUUCCAGCAUUAUAAUGGCAUUAGUGGUACAUUUCAAUCUUUAGUUAUAUUAAGUAGAUGUGAAGACAGUGUUUCUCAAUGGUGACAUUGAUGAGAGUAUCUAUAUGGUGCAACAAAAACUUUAUGUUAAGAAACCCAAAUAAUAUGGUUUGUGAACUUAAAAAAUUCAUUUAUGGACUCAAGCAAGUAUCUCGACAAUGAUAUUUCAAGUAUUAUCAAGUAAUCAUCUCAUUUGAUUUUGAGAUGAAUUUGGUCGAUGAUUACAUAUACUAUAAGUUCUAUAUGAGCAAGUAUAUUUUUUUCGUUUUAUAAAUCGGUGAAAUUUUUCUUGCCAGCAGUAAUAUAGGCUUAUUACAUGGCACCAAGAGAUUUCUAGCUAAGAAUUUUGAGAUAAAAGAUCUUAGUAAGCCUUUUUUGUAGUAAGCAUACAGACACACCGGGAUUGCUCUUGAGGUAUUCUUUGAUUAUCGCAAAAGAGUUAUAUCAAAACGAUUCUCAAGAGAUACGGCAUGCAAGAUUGCAAAGCAAGUGAUACCCAUAUGGCUAAGGGAUAUAGGUUUAGUCUCAAUCAGUUCCCUGAGAAUGAUUUUGAGGUGAAAUAAAUGCAGAAGAUUCCUUAUGCAUCAAUAAUAAGAAGUCUAAUACAUGCUUAAGUUUGUACGGGACCGGAUAUUGUGUAUGUUAUUGAGAUGUUUGGCAGGUACUUAAGUAAUCUAAGAGCAGACUAUUGAAAAGCGGCCAAACAAGUCUUGCGAUACUUACAGAGAAUAAAAGGCUACAUGCUUAUGUAUCAGAGGCCAGAUUAAAUUGAGAUUGUCGGUUAUAUUGACUCCAAUUUUGCUGGAUGCCAGGAUAGUAUAAAGUACAAAUUGGGCUACAUUUAUCUACUCGUUGCGAUUGUUGUCUGUUGGAAGAAUGUUAAAUGGUCUCUUACAGCCUCUUCUACGAUGGCACUAGAGUUCAUAACAUGUUAUGAAGUAUCCAAUCACAGAAUAUGGCUACGAAAUUUUGUCCUGGGACUGUGAAUAGUAGAUGGUAUUGAUAGAUCACUCAAUUUAUCUUGUGGCAAUAAGUCAAUAAUGCCUUAUUCGAAUAACAACAGGAGCUCGAUGAAGUCAAAGUAUAUAGACAUCAAGUUCCUAGCUGUUAAAGAAAGAAUUCAGAAUGGACAAUUGUGUAUAGAGCACGUGAGCACAAACUCCAUGAUUGCAGAUCCGCUUACUAAGGUAUUGCCACCCAAGAUGCUUUAUGAAUUAUGAGCACACUACUCAUAUAGGUGUCAUGUCAUUAAAUGAUAUUUACUUUAGUUGGAGAUUGUGAUUUUAAAUGCUCAUACAAUAUAGACACUUUUUCAGUUAUUUUAGUUUCUGGAUAUUUCAGGUUAUUUUCUAUAGAAAUUAUUACUGUUUUGGUUUUCCAUGGCUAAAAGAAAUCAAAAUAAUAAUAUAUGUAUUUGUAUUCGUAUGUAUUGAGUACCAUCCUUAGAGAUAAGGAUGAGAGUGUGAGUGUAACAUAAAGUAAGGAGUGAGUUGUAAAGUAGAUUCUUUAGAGAUAAGGAUCAAUUAUGUACACAGUGUGUAAUAGUGGUUCCCUUGUGCCUAUAAAAGGGAACCCUUGGUUUGUUUCUAGGCAUCGAGUCUUAGAGUCCAAUAUUGUAUUCUAAAUCUCUCAUUCCUAUUAAUGAAGUAACCUUCCUAUGUUUUCAAGAAAUCUAAAUUUUGGUAUCAGAGCCAUAUUUCCCAAAAGGAAACCCCUGGGUGUGCAAUAAUAUUAUGCUCUGUGGUUGCCGAAAUACUUCGGAUCCUUCACAUCAGAAAGUUGUUGGAUACUGAUCUGACUGUCCAAAUUUUCCAUACUAAAACACUACAGAGUGAAUUCUGGAAGGUGUGGCGCCCCCCCUUGAAAAGGCCAAGAGAGCCGUGUUUAGGGCUUAUCACCCCAAAGAAAACCCUUUGAUUUCUUUUAGCCAUGGAAAACCAAAACAGUAAUAGAUCCGGAAACCAACUAAUUUCUGACCAAGCAUCCACUUUGGCCAUCAGAGUUCCAACUGAUAGCUCACCCUCCAUAAAUUUCCAUUAUGAAACCUAAGAGGAUGAAAGCAAUGAGAGAGCAGUUCAGUCCUUCAGACUUGAUCCGUUAGACCCUUAUAGAUACUAUCAUAUCAGUCCUACUUUAAACCACAUAAGGGCCAUAAUCCUCAUCAAACAACCUAAGCUCAAAACCAUCUAUAAAUCCUCUGAAAUCAUUGUCCAGUCCAUCUCCUCUAUUUCAAAGGAAACAUACCUUCCCAUAAUCUCUACCAAUGAGGUUACAAGGUAUAAAUUGUAGGGAUAUAAGGGAUUACACCUUGGAGUAAUCCAGAUAGGGAUACAACCUUUAUUCCUAGCUGGAAAAGAUAUUACAUGUUUCAUUGCCAUUCUAGACACUAGAUGGCAAGCUUUUGAAAAGGCCUUGAUUACUGCUGUUGAAGCAGGACUCAACCAAGGUCAUGUUGUUCUCCAAGUUGAGCCAAACUUCACCCUUGACAUACACAAGCCAUCCCUCACAGAUGCCAUUAAGGUAUUAAUUCAAGUCAAUAGUUUAACCAUGAAACCUGAUGAAUCUACCUUGGCAAUUCACCAUACUAUGACCUAUAAGGUCCAAACCCAUUUGUUCUCGAUGAGCAGCUCUGGCAAACCUAUUACCAGAUUUCUUGCUGGUGAUGGCAGAAUCUUUCAACCCAGGACUUAUAGGCAAAACCAACUCAUUUUUCCACCACAAUGGAUCAAUGAGUAUGAGAAAAACAACAGACCUCAACAAAUCCAUGAGGUUCCAAAGAUAAGCAGGUUGCAAGAAGGAAGGGUAUCAGUCUCUUUUCCUACUGAGACUAAAGCCCUCUAUCCUUGUGAAAAGUGUCAACUUGAAAGAAAGCAUCCCUCUUUGUGCACACAUAUGCCAAGAAGAACCACCUCCUGCAGAAUCAUGAGUCCAGUCAACAUGAUCACCACUCCUGACCUUGAUAAUGAAUUCAUCAAGGAUAUUCCUGGAGGAAUGUAUGCUGCCAAAUGGGUAAUACAGAAGACCAGCCCAACUGAAUUCGGCCCAAUUGAGAAGGCAGUCAACUGGUUAAACAUUAAUGUGAUGGAACAGAACCAGACAUUAGGAGACAUCAUGGUCACCCAACAGCAAAUCCUUGCUGAUUUAGCUGUCAUCAGAAAACAGCUAAAGAAGACCAGAAAAUAGUAUAAAAUGACUACCCAACAGUUUUCUCAACUACAUGAUAAUGCCUCAAGAUCUAUCAACAUGAUUGUUAUGACUGGAGCUGCAGAUGAGGACGAAAUGGAGAGAACAAAGGAAAGCUACCAAAAGAAGGUGUCCAGACAUUGAAAGAGUAAACCCACAAAACCAUGGCAUAUUUGGGAGAAAAUGCAUCUGGCAAUUGUUAGAAGGCAUUCUGGAAAAGUUAUGCUCCUCCUCCCCAAUAUCCAUGGCCUCAAAAGGCCACAGGAUGGAACGAGAAAUUUGAUACUGAAGAAGAAUCAAGUAUUUCCUCUGAUGAUACUACAGGGAUCCCUCCGAUUCCCAUUCUUAUGCAAAGAGCAAAUCCUCCAAAUCCAUUCUAUGUGGAUACUCGAACUAGAUUUGCAGCCUCAACACCAACACAGGGUCAAACUUCUGAUCCUACAAGACAUGAACAAACUCAGAACCCGUCAGGCACAGCACAAUUCACUGCUCCAGAAUUCACUAAUCAACCAACAACAUCUGCGGAAGUAUCCUCCAAUCUGGUCGAUCAAACUGCUGAACGUGCCCCACAUAUAGAUGAAGUAUCCCAAGGAGAAGAUUGGGAAACCAGGGUACAACUAGGGCACUCCACAACCGAAAAAAUGUUCUAGAAUGUCGAUGGAAUGAAGCCAAAGGAAAUGUUGGCUUAUUUUAAAAAAAUGGUAACUUGGUAUGAAGGAGAAUGCCAACGAGCCCCUCAGUUGAGUAGAAGAUCAGCUGCACUAAGGCUGAUAGCAGGGUUCAUCGGUUCGCUGAGACGAUGGUGGGGAAGAAAGCUCACCAGAGACCAAAGACAGUUUAUUCUCAGCAGGGAAGAUCCUUGUGGAAGCUUGGUAGAGAAUCUAUCAUUAGAUUUUCUAGGCCAAUACAUAAGAGAAGAAGAGGUUGCUGAAAAGCAAUUUCUACAAAACAAGUGCUGUGAUGUCCGAAAGAUGGAAGAGUACUACCUAGAGCAAGAAAGGUUGUCCUACAUCUUUGACAAACAAUCUGAUACCAUCCACAGAACAUUCGUGCUGAACAUGCCAGGCCCAGUUGCUGAAAUGAUGGAGGCUAAAUUCAAAGCUGAUGCAAUUGUUGAUUUAGCACAGCUUAGCCUAGCCCAGCUCUAUCAGAUGUCUAUGGAGCUAAUUCAAAGUCAUUACCGAUCUCAAGAUUUACCAAAGCACAUGAAGCAGAUUGAGAAAUCCUCUCUACAAAAAUUUUGUAACGAGGAACCAAACAAGUUUGGCUGCCAACAUACUGAAAAAAUGUGCUCUUGCAACACAGGCAAACGGAGAAAGGAGAAGCGGCCCUGGAAACCUUACAAAGGAAAGAAACAAACCGCUUCAUAAAAAAGCGGAACUAAAAGAAGGGCUCUGGUAGAUGUUUUAUCUGUGGAAAGAAAGGUCACUAUGCCAAGCAAUGCAAAUCCAAGAAAAAACUCCCGGUCAAAUUCCUCCAAAUGAUUCAACAAGACGAUUUCGAUGAUGAAAUCUAUACCUGGUCAGAUAGUCCCCUUGGAGCCGUCUUCACAUUAGACGAAUAUCCUGAUUCCACUAGUGAGGAAACCAAUUCUACUACCAGCACUAACACCGAUUCCGAGAAUGCAGACUUUAUCAUGGCUGUCCACGACCCAUUACAGAUAAAGCUUGCUAUGCAACCAUCAUCUCUUUUCAGGCCACACAUUAAAAUUAUCCUCAAUCCAACAGAGGAUACUCAAGUAGCACUUACUGCUCUUAUUGAUACAGGAGCAAUGUGCUCAUUUAUUCGAGAAGCUUGUGUUCCAAAAAGCUUUUAUGUCCCUACCAAGGUUUCCUUCGGAUCAACCAGCGGUCGAGAUUUCUAUAGCAAAAAGAUUACUCGACCAAUAGAGAUCCAACCAUUCAUGAUCUGGCAUGGCUUCUUUGCUUUUGAUUACUCCGGCGAAGAUAUCUUAUUGGGUACUGACUUUUUAAGUCUGGUUGCCCCUUUUGCCUUUUUUCCUGAAGGUUUCUCCUAUACCAUUCGCAAUCCUUUGGAUGGUACGAGUCAUUUUUUCCAAGUUCCUUGGGUCGAAAAGCAAUCCAUUUUUGGGGAGGGUAAAAAACUAGAAAACUACCUUAUCCAUAAAUAUGAACCUCAGAUCAAGGAACUCUUAGAGUGCUGUGCAGAAGUGCCAAACCAGUUCUGGGCUAGAGAACAUAAUUUUGUGUCUCUACCCUACAAGGAUGGAUGGACCAUGCCUCAUCAGACAGCCUCUCAUCCCGGCAUGCCCCAUGACGAAGAACUAUGCAAAAUAGAGAUCCAAGCCCUUAUGGAUCUGAAGCUCAUCAGGCUCUCUAAGUCUCAUUGGGCCAGCUCAGUAUUUUAUGUCAACAAGCAUUCAGAGCAGAUACGUGGAAAGAAGCGAUUGGUGAUAGACUACAGAAAGCUGAUUGAUUGUUUGCAAGAUAUAGGGUACCCCAUUCCACGGAGGACACACCAUUUGAAAUGCAUUGCUGGAGCAAAAGUAUUCUCAAAGUUUGACAUGAAGUCAGGCUUUUGGAAAAUUGGAAUCAAGGAAAAAGACAGACACAAGACAUCGUUUGUGGUCCCCCAUGGGCAUUAUGAAUGGAACGUGAUGCUUUUCAGCCUAAAGAAUGCACCGUCAGAAUUCCAAAACAAAAUGGAUGAGGUGUACAAAUCCAUCUCAGGAUUCUAUCUUAUCUACAUCGACGAUGCUCUUAUCUUCAGCAACAGUAAAGAAGAACAUGCUGAACACCUGUCUUAAUUCAAGGCACUAACCUAUAAACAUGGGUUAGCCCUGUCAGAGCCAAAGAUGAAGAUAGGCCUUGAUGAGGUAGACUUUUUGAGAUUACACAUCAAAUAGGGAUUCAUCAUUCCUCAUCCACAUAUUGCUGAAAAAAUAUCCCAAUUUCCAGACCAGCUGUCAACUAGAAAGCAAAUCCAGCAAUUCCUCGGGAUAAUCAACUAUGCAGCAGACCAUGUGCAAGAUCUGUCAAAGAUGACAAGUCAGAUAUCCAAGCACUUAAAGAAGGGUGCCCCACAAUGGUCAGGAGAUGCUACAAAAGCCGUGAAAGACUUAAAGCAAAAGUGCCAAUCACUUCCACCAUUAAAGAUACCUAACAAAUGACCGCUCAUCUUACAGACAGAUGUUGGUGACCAUUAUUGGGGAGCACUGUUGAUAGAAGAAUCCGAGGGAAACAGGAAAGUUUGUGGCUAUAAAUUUGGACAGUUCAAUGAUGCUCAAAGCCACUACCCUUCCUCGAAGAAAGAAGUCUUAGCAGUCGUCAAAGGGAUCAAGAAGUUCCGAUUCUUUCUCUCUUUAACCCCUUUUUUGAUUGAAACAGACUAUAAAUACCUCUAGGGAUUGCUCAGAAGAAAAGAAUGAGAAAUCCCUGACCCUCAACUUGCAAGGUGGUCUGAGUCUCUCUCGAGAUUUAAGUUCGAAGUAAGACACAUCAAAGGAGAAUCCAACACUGUAGCGGAUUUCCUUUCCAGACAAUCACCAUUAUCAGAUGAAGGAAUCUUCCAAGAAGAUGGGAAGAAGGCAGCUCUAGUGCUCAUGAAACUAGAGCACAUUUUCUCAAAAAUCUUAACACUUUCAUAGCAUGGCUUCCCUCAGAAGUCCAGGAAGAUAUCUUUGAGAAAAUCAUCACCCACAAAAGAGAUCCAGAAGAUCAAGUUCUAACAUGGCGGGUAUGGCAACUCAUGGCUAUGCAAGAACACAGACCUGCCCUCAACAAAAGAUGUCAGAGAGCUUUUGAUCUACAUCCAAAUCUUGACCAGAUGCACGAAACGGUCUUCAAGAUCGGUUGCACCUUCCACUAUGUAAUAGAUGAAAACUCCAACUGGGGUCACUAUGUUAUCUAUGACAUAACCCCACAAGCCUAUUACAUAACGUGGUACUGGCUGAACAUCUACCCUGUAGCAAUACUGUUCGAGCCAAAUCUUAUCCACACCAGCCGAAGAUAUGACAAGGGAAGGUGGUUUGACAGAAUGUUUGCCCCUAUCUUCGAAGAUAUCCUACCACUUAAGCUCAUCAAUGGAUACAACAUCACUCACUCUACCAUAGUGAUUGUGAAGCUCACGGAUAUCUGGGGACGAUAUAAGAAGCCACUGAUACAGGUAAUCCAGCAUGACCACUCCCACGAAGAGAUUAAUUCCAUGUGGACAGGCUGUUGGAAUGCUAGAAAGGCAUUAGCAGAGGUAUAUGGGAUUGUUCCCAUGUACAAUACUCACAGUCCAGUAUCCCCACAAGUCUGCAGUACUCCAGAUCUCUAUUACAGAGAAGAGAUCAGGAAUCUCAAGCUUCAUGGAGAAGAUGAUGAAGCAGCAGACAUACAGCAGAGGUAUAAUGACUACCUUACUCGACAUGGCAGGCCAAAGGAAGUCACUUAUCUGGACACUCCAGAUAUUGACAGAUGGACGAACGAACUUGAAGAGAUGGCCCAUUGGCUAGACCUCCAAGAAUGGCCCCAACCAGAACUAAACCCAUAGCCAGACAACAUAGAAGACCCCAUAUGGCCAACUAUGGGAGAAGACAUGGAUGCAGCAUCCGAGGAAUGAUGGAACCAUAGGUCAGGACGCAACAUGCCAACAAGUGGCAACACUAGACUGUAUCGGAAGCUUAGUGGACCCUACAGUGGAAGCAAUGGUGAUAAUAAUAUAUGUAUUUGUAUUCGUAUGUAUUGAGUACCAUCCUUAGAGAUAAGGAUGAGAGUGUGAGUGUGACAUAAAGUAAGGAGUGAGUUGUAAAGUAGAUUCCUUAGAGAUAAGGAUCAAUUAUGUACACAGUUGUAAUAGUGGUUCCCUUGUGCCUAUAAAAGGGAACCCUUGGUUUGUUUCUAGGCAUCGAGUCUUGGAGUCCAAUAUUGUAUUCUAAAUCUCUCAUUCCUAUUAAUGAAGUAACCUUCCUCUGUUUUCAAGAAAUCCAAAUUUUAGUUUUGGUUUAUUUACACUCUAAUUUUAAUAUGCUUUCAUCUCACUGAGAUUUAAGUUGACCAGUUGAAAAUAGGGCAUGUUAAGAUUACAUUACAUGAAAUUUCUAUGCUACACACCCAUAUUAUAAUCCAUGUCUUUUAGUUAUAUUGGCAUAGUGACCAUUGAUGGAUCGAGUUAUAAUAGUUAUAACAAAGGGCGCCUUUGAUCCUAUGUUGGUAUAAUUGAUAGACUUGAUUGGUUAUUGAUACAUUUCGAUUAUGAUAGUAACGUUGAACUCAUAUAGUUAUAUUUACAAAGCAUAAUUAUAAGGUUACAUAUAUAGCCCAAAUGGGAGAUUGUUGAAUUUUUUAAUCUAGCAUUGUUGGAUCCUUAAUCUAAUGUUGGGCUUAUAUGUGAAUAAUUAUGUAUUGCGAACUAUCAUAUAUGGAUAAACCCAAUUAAAAGUGAUCUAUUAAGGUUUACAGUAAUAUAGGUUUUAAUGUAUCUAAUAAGGUGUGGACCUUCAAUUUGUAGAGCCUUAAAGAUAAUUUCUAUUUCUAUGACUGGCCGAAAUAGGAAUACCAAAAGACAAUAGAAAAAGUUAUUUAUAUAAGUGGUCAUGGUCCACAGGUCACAUGUAUCAUUCUAUUCUUUCUGACAUCCUAUCAUCAGAGAGAGAGAGCAUAGAGAAAAUUAAAGAAUUCUUUAGGAGAACGUGUUAAUCUGGAAGGCAAACCACAACUCUAGAGAGUAAUUAAACAUUAUGGAUUUAGGUUUGCUUUUGCUUAUUUUGUUAUUGAUUUUUAAUGAUAUCAAAUGAAUGGUCCUGAAUUAUAGGUGAUAGUUUUCACCAAAAAAGCCUUGAGGAGUUGAAGAAAAAUUAAUAAAAGAAAAGUAAAAAUAGAAAUAAAAAGGAAGGAGUACUAGCCAUAAUGAUUUUAUAAAGAAUCUAAAAACCUAUAUAAUUAUAAUAUAAUCCAAAGGUUUAUUGAGCAUAAUUAAAAAGUUUGAGCUCAAUAGCGAGUCAUGAUCAAUGAAUAAGGAUGUUUGUAUACUAAUUCAAACUUCUAACCAAAAACAAAAAGUUAUAAUAAUAUUUAUCUUUAUGAUCGUACGGUCAUUAGCAGUGCUCUAUCAUGAAGCAGUUCCAAUAUAACUUGAUUCUAAUUAAAAAAAAAAUUCUUCCACCGUUACCUAUCUAAUAAUUUCCACACUAAUUUGAAUUUUGACCAAUAUAAUUUCAUAAAUUCACACCAAACUAAAAAUCUAUCAUUUUAAAUUAUUUAAUAUCAAUUACAAUUAAAUAUUUAAUUUUGUAUAACAUAUAUUAUUCAUGGAUGGACAAUAUUAUGAUAGACAAUUGUCAUAUGAAAAUAAUAAAUCUGUGACACAUAAUACAUCAUAAAAUCCAUGACAUAUAUAAACUAUCAUCAGAAAUUUUUUGACACAGGUUUUAGUGACGGACACAUGACUGUCAUCUAAUAAGGUGUAUAAUGGUAAAAAAGUAGUUUUUUUAUUGUUUUGUGAACCUAGUUAGCUUUUUGUUUCCUAAAGAGCUCUUAGUUUAAAAUGAAUAAAUUUUUGGAAAAAGAAUAAUUGUACUUCCCAAAGUUUAGGGAAUGGUCACGAAAACUCCUAAGUUUUUAAUAAAAUACAUCAAGACUGUAUUUUGACCAUAAUUUUAUUUGUCUCUAUUAACCCGAAAGUUUAUUCUAAUAUUUUGUAAUAAAUAAAAGAUAUAAUAUUAAAAUAAAUGUAAAAAUGCUUAAUAUUAUUAGUCUACUAGACAAAUUAAGUUACUUAUAUUAUAUUAGUAUUUAUUAAAAAAAUUGAAGUCAAUUUUUAAUUAUUGUACUUAAAACGUAUUAUGCUUAAAAAAAAGGGCAUCAAUGUCCAUUUAAUAAAAAUUUACGUUAUCUAUAUGAUAAUUUUUCUAAACUUUGGGAGUAUAGCAUCAACAAAAUUUUUAAGUAUAAAAAUUAUUUUCACAUAAAAAAACGUAUUCUUAGUUUAUUAUAAAACAUCUUUAUUGAAAAUAAUAAAAUAGAAAUUAAAUUAUAAAACAUUUUUUUCAUUCAAAGCAAUCAAAAUGCAUUAAUUUAUUUCCUGGGAUCAAUGAAAACAAAAGUAAGAUAUCCAAUGGUGGGUAUCAAAUUUCUGAUUUAGAUGGAGUUGAGCCAGUAUGAUUGCUGAUGUUGAUGCAUAACUACUAUAUAAAAUCAUUGGCUAGUUCGUGUUUUGGGCCGGUGCGGUACAAGAUUUGAGGAGCGUGAAAAAGACACUCGGCUCAAUGACUCUUGCGAAAACAAAAGGAUCGAAAGCAGAGCGCGUGGUAUACACAUUUGAAUGACAUCGAACUUAUGUAGCAGUGAAAAUGAGAAACAUAUUGGGUAGUGUAGCAUGUAGGGUCCACAUGACAUGGCAUCAUUACUUAAUAAUUGAAGUCUACGACACGUGGCAGACAUAUACAGUAUGGAGAAUUGGAGAUACAGGUGUAAACUCUCAGAAUGUUCCAUCCAUUUAUAGUCAUGUGAUCUUCUCGUUAUCUAAUUUGAACGGUUGAUGUCUGUGGUGUAGGAUCCUCUCAGCAUUUAGGUGGGGCCCAAAACUGUCAAGAAUCCAUACAUUUUGCGAAGUUACAAUAAAUGUAACUUUUGCAGAGCAUGUAAAAAUUUGUGACAUAGCAGUGUUACAAGGGCUGGAAGUUAUAUUGUUGGUAACUUAGCAAGAUCCUUCGAUUAUAAUAUUGAAGAAAAUUAUAGAUUCUCUCAUGAAAUAUUUAUAUUCAAAUUCAAAUAAACCAUAAUACUUAGCCUUUUAAAUUUGAAAAUACGACACUUAUUGCUUUUUUUUAAUCAUAUGCUACAUUUAAACGCUUAAUCUAACAGAAAAUUAGAAAUUGAUAUAUUAAAUUAAAUUUUAAUUAAAAAAUCUAUAUUACUUCUAACUAAUUUAACUUAUUUUACAAGUCGUAAAUAUCUAUUAAAUUGAAAUAUUCUUUGUAUGUGCGAUGUGACAAUAUUGUAGUUGAUAAAUGAAGCUAAUUACUUAAUUUUGUAUUUAGAAUUUCAGCAUAACCAUAAGCUAUUGUUUAUUGGAUUUUCUUAUAAAAUUUUCAUUUUAUACCAUUUUCACCACAUCAUGGAUUAUAAAUUAAUUUUACUUCUUAUAUAAUACAAUAUAUUCUUUGAUUGAUAAUACAAAAAAAAAAAAAAGUUCCACCAAACCUUCAAGUACCAUAUUCCUAAUUUAUUUACAUUUUUCAAUUUUGAAGCCAAGAAAAUAUGAAAAUAUAAAUUAGGUAAUUAACUCACCAAACCUUCUUAUAUAAUACAAUAUAUUAUUAUUAUUAUUUUUAAAUAAGAACAUUAAACAUAAUAGAACCUUAGGUGAGCGUGUUUUAUAAUAAGUCCAACUCUUCAUAUUUAUAUUUACUACGUUUAUAAUAGAUUUUGAAUUUUAUUUAAUAAGUUAAUUUUAAUUCAAAUGAUUAAACAAGUCUUGAUUGACUUAUGUAAUUAACAAGAAAAAAAUCAAUAUAAUGUACUAAAAAUAACAUUAUAAUAUUAUAUAUUAUUGUUAAAAAAAUACACAUGUUAGGUAUAUAUUUUAUUUUUCAUGCUUUAUUAAGCUAAACAUUAUCAAUUUUUUUGUACUAAUCGAAUAAUUUAUUUAUAACUUCUCAUGUUUUUAAUGAGUUUAACCAAUACAUACAAGUAUUGCUAAUAUUUAUGAGGUUAUAUAUGUCGAAAUAUAAUAUUCUAGAUGUUUUCUUUUAAAAAACAAACAACUUAACGCUUAUCUUCUGUUAUUAAGAAAAGAAAAAAAAAACAUAUUAUUCAGAUAUAUGAAUUUAGAUCUAUUUAGGCUUCAGCUAAAUUCAGACCCAUUUAAAUUUUAGACCAAAGAAAGAAAAAAAAAUGCUAUCUAAGUGUCAUAGACCAUUUAAGUUGGGUAUAAGUAUUUCUUACCUAUACUUGAGGAGGAAUCUGUAAAUUUUCCAUAAAAUUUAGGAGUGAUUCCACCUUUUUUUUAAGACAUCAAUGAUGUAACAAAUAUAUACCAUUAGAUUUAAUAAACAAUGUAAAUUUUUUUAUUUGUGAAAAACUAAAAUUAUUUAAAAAUGUUAUAACCUAUUUCUAACCAUUUAAAAAUUAUUUAAAACUUAAAAAAAAAAAGAGUUAUUAUCAAUCAAAAUCUCUCUCUCUAUCUUAUUGGAUUCUUACUCUGUGGUCUUUAGCUCUUACAUUUGAAGUCGCCAAUUAAUGCGAAUAAGGGUUUGUAUGACUAUUUGAUUAAGGUUGAAGCUGAUGGAAGGUAGGAUGAUACUCCUAAGAGCAAAGUUAUAAUCAAAGACAGUAGUGAACUUCCUUUGUAAUUUCUAAGAACUAUUGUCUCAUCUAAACUAGCGAAUUAGGUCUUAAGGUACACAUUAUUGGUGAUAUUCCUGGUGUCAAGUUCUAGGUUGUAAAGGUCUUUAGUGUUUCCCUCUUGGGUGUCUUCAAAGAGAAAAAGGCGAAGCCAAGGUUCUAAGAGAGAAUUGUUCAUGCAGAUUUUGUAAACAUUUUCUGGUAUUAACUAGUAAAUGUAUUGUUGGGGUCAAUGGCAGUGCCACAUUUGGAUUAUUAGGGGUUAAAACCCCUGCUUAAACUUUUUAAAAUUUUAAUUAAUAAUAAAAUUUAUUUAAUUUUUAAUUUGAUUUACCUUAAAAGUACUUAUUAAGUUAUAAAAAUAACUGGAAUGCACUACUAGAAAAAUGAUUUUUAUUGACAGUAAACUAAUGUCAGUAAUUACUUUGAUCACUGACCAAGAUCAAAGUAAAACAUAGAAUAAAAAACAAACCAGACAUAGAGAACAAAAACGAAGAACAUAAUUGCACGAUACAGUAUUUUGAAGGAAAAGUCAACUCAUUUUAUUGAUCAAAACACUUUGAAUACAAAUCAUAUCUACAGAGGAGAUUGCAUUGAACACAUAGAAACAAAUUUCAAUUUCAAACAAAAUGAAUAACAAACAAAGAAGAAAUCGAAUAGCCAGCAUGUGCUGAUAAUCAGCUUCCUUUUAUGAACUUACAACAACUUUUGACAUGUCAGCGUUUUAUAUCACUGACCCUCGAACUGAAGUCAAUCGGGGCAUUGACUCAAUAAGUUCCUCUCGUUUGCAUUAUUGUCUAAAAGCUUAAGUGCCUUAACUUAUAUAGUAGCCCUGGCAAUGAAAUUAUCCUUUAAUAUUUUCAACAUAUGAAACUAUAUUGAGGUUGUUAUAAAUAUAUUGAAUUAAAUAUAUUAAUAAAUUUUUAUUUUGAUAUUUGUUAUUUGUUGAUUAAUUUUUUAAAUUAUAUUAUUGUUUGAAUUAAACUCCUAUUAGAUCGAAAUCCUGGCACCACCACUAGAUGUGCUAAAAAAGAAGAAUCACAAUUAGUGAAUAUUAUCGGUUUCUUGUUGAUGAGAACCUGAUUUCAAUAGGAAAAAUAUUAUGGGAGCACAAGUAAUGAAUAAUGCAAUCAUUAAAAUUUUCUUUUUUUAAAAAAAAUUAAUUGCUAAGGUAAUGAAAAUUUACUUGGCGGCCAUCUUGAUAGUUUACUUUAAUUUAGAUUUUUUUUUCAAUGUAUUAUGAGUAAAUAAAAAUUGUACAAACAUUUGUCAUCAACAAGAAACUAAUGAGGUUCAUAAACCCCAUAAAAUCUGUACAUGGUGUGCUCUGCCAUGUAGAAAUUUUAAAAUAAAAAACUAAUGGGUUCAUUUGAUUUGAAUCUCAUGGCUUGAAUUAGAAUCCCGCCCUUCCUCGCUCUUAAAAAAUAGUUUACCUCUUAACACUACCUUUAAGUAUAAAAAAAUAUGUUUUAAAGUUAAAUUAACUCAAAUAUAUUUUUAUCUUAAAUUAGUUUUGAAGUGAACUAUUAUAUUUUUAAAUGACCAGAAACUUAACACAUACUUGGGAUUUUCAACACAUAAUUGGAAUUUGGGAAAAGGAAGGGAAAAAAGAAAAAAUUAACACCGUGUUACUAAAUUUAUGCUUGUUGAACCUCAUCGAAGGACUGGAGUGAGUGUAAUACAUAUUUUGUUUAUUUAAUUCUCAAAAUUUCUGGUUUAUUUGAUAUUUUUGCCGACAACAAGGACCUCAAAGAAAGAUUUCAAUUUAAUAUUAUGUAUUCUAGAAUUUCUAAUUUAGCCACUUUCGUUGACCUGAGGAAAUUCUAAUGAAGCCGGGAAAAAUAGACUUCCAAGCCUAUGGAAACAGCCAGGAAAUUGUAUCAUAAAAAUCAUAACAAUAAUGUGUCUUAUUAACAAUAUUUUAUUCCGACGACAAAGCUUAAAAAGUCUCAAGCCUUUUUAGUUUCUUCCAUUGUGUAACAAGGCACAAGCAAAAAGCGUCUCUCAGGAAUUUUUAUUUUUAUUUUUUUAAUUAUUAGUGUCUCAGGAAUUAAUUAGUGAAGAUGAAAGAAAAAGAAGCAGAAUAUUUUGAGAUGGCGGUGUCAUAUGAUACGACGCCAGAAAGAUGUUCUUCUCAAUCGCAACCAUUCUGUUCGUUUCAAAGUCCAUCUUCUUCAGAUGCCUCUCCCAGCUUCAGCUCUUGUGCGUAGUACGCUCUUAAUUUUCUCUGUUUCUUUUUAUUUUCCUUUUUUUCAAUUUUAUCCCUAUUUGCUUUUUCUUAUUGUGAUUUCCAGUUAGUUUAGUAAUUGUUAGCACAAGUUUUUAGAGGUGAUACGAAUCGAAUCCCCAGUGGUGAUUUUAAGAGAAAACUUUUAGCUCUUAAUGGCAUUAAUCUGUUGAGAAAGAAAGAGCGGACAAGUCGAUAAUAUAAUUAGAAAUGUUCUAAUUUAGUAUUCUGGACUUUAUUAAGACUUUUUUCUACUUAUUUAAUGUUUUUUUGCUUGAGAACAUCUUGGAAUUUCAAUUAAUUUUGAACAUUUAUACAUAAGACACACUUUACAUGAAGCAAACUGAAACUAAGUUUAGGUAAUAGUCGAUUGAACUUAUUUUAAAAUCGUUUAGGAUAAUACAAGAUGUAUAACUGGAUAUUCAACAUCAAGCUCACAUCCUGACAAUUAAAGUACAACUAGAUGAUUUUUAUCAAUGUAUAAAUUGUUACACUUUAUAUAUAGUCCUUUUAAAGAGCAGAUAUUCAAACUUUAUGAAGUGUGGACUCAUCCUUUUACAGCGUUGGCUGUACAAUAUUAUAGAGACCUUUAGACGAAGACAAACAAUGACUCACCUUACAGUCAAUGCAGAUGAAGAAGAUACAGAAAUGGGUCAGAGGAAAUGUAUUGAGAGCAAAGGUAGUAACUUCGCUUGCAGAAUUCGAGAUCACGGUAAUCAGUUUCUUCCCUAAAAAUUUUUUCAUGUAUGUUAUAAUCACAUCAUAUAGCUAGGAAAAAAACUGAAUGAAUUUUCUGAACAAAUUAAUUGCAGUGAAAAUGGGCCCAAAAUUUUCUGAAACAGUGAAAAGUAAGCUGAGCUUGGGAGCAAAAAUUAUUCAAAAAGGCGGGAGGGAAAAUAUAUUCAAGCAGAUUUUUGGUUUGACAGAAGGGGAAGAAUUCUUGAAGGCCUCACAGUGCUACUUAUCAACGACGCGCGGUCCAAUUGCUGGACUUCUUUUUAUUUCUAAUAAGAAAAUUGCUUUUUGCAGUGAAAGAUCAAUCUCUUACUCUUCGUCCACUGGAGAACUAAUAAGAACACCAUACAAGGUAAUUUUAAUGAUUUUCUAAAACUUUUUUCCUUAAGAAAAUAUGAAGUUGCUAUCAUAGUUUGUGGUUGAUACGGUCAAUGUUAAUGUGAUAAAAAUUUAUAAAAUUAGCGUGUAGAUGAUGUGAUACCCCCGUCUCACAUAAAAUUCUCUCUCUAUAUAUGUGAGUGUGUGGGUAUAUAUAUAUAUAUAUAUUGAAAUUCAAGUAAUUUGAAGUAUCAUUUCAAUUUUCACCGAGGCCUAGGGCUGGCAAUUUGCGGGCUUGGACCGGGUUUUUUUGAAGCCCAAGCCUAAGCCCACAACAUUUAAACAAAGUUUAGGCCCUUUAAAAGCCUGUUCAAAUUUGGAGAGGCUGGGCUUGGAUUUUUUUUUAAUUAAUUAUAAAAUAUUUUUUUAAUUAAAAAAAUAUUUAAAUUAAAAAUAAUUAUCUAAUACAUAAUAAAAUAAUAGUCCAAUGCAUAAAAUAUUAAUAAUACAACCUAAUAAAUAAUAAAUAAUAAUAUAAAAAAUUAAACUAAUUUAGUAUUUAAAAUUUUUUCUUUUAUUAUUUCAAUUAAAUUUAUUUUUUAUUUAUAAAUUAAAAAAAUCUUAGCUAAGUCUGAGCUUUUUUAUUAAGCUAUUGUCCAGACCCAACGUAUGGGGGCUUUGCAUUUUUUGGACUUGUACAAGCCCAACCCUUGCUGGUCGGGCUGGGCUUGGGUUGGCCUGAGCUUUUUUGCUAUCCCUACUGAGACCUUGAGUCAAGUGGUGAGCUUUUGUUCAAUUUCUAAAGAUAUUUUUUUUACUAUAAUCCUAUCCCCAGGUAAUGGGGUAGAGAUCUCACCUUUUAAUAGCCAUUAGUUAUUUAUUUUAUUAGCUGGAACUAAAUCAUGUCAGAUAAUGAAAAUUUUAUUGACAUAAUUCACAUUUACAGGUGUUGAUACCAAUACAAAAGAUCAAAAGUAUCAACGAAAGUGAGAAUGUGACCAAGCCAGAGCAAAAGUACGUUGAAAUAGUGACCGUAGACGAUUUUGAAUUUUGGUUCAUGGGAUUUUUGCGCUAUGAAAAAGCUUACAGAAAUCUUCAAAAGGCCAUUUCUAUGGCUAACGAAGUGUAAAUAAUUAGGACCUAUUUUGAAGACAUGUUCAGCUAGUAAGCUUUGACUAUCAGUUUUGUGUUAAAUAAAUAUCGUACAUCAUAUGCUUUAAUUUGUAUAUAUGAGUGAAGUUAUGAAGGGUGUUAUGGGCAUUCCAAAGUGGAGCCCUGCGCUGGCUUUAGUGCUCUCGGGUUCAAUUGGAACUUUUUUUUUUCCAUAUUUUUUUCCCAUGUAAAUGCUUAAAGCAUUAUUAAAGAAAAAGAGGAGAAAGGGUACAAAAAUCAAAAGAAUAGAAGUCAAGAGACGUAACAACAGGGUGGUCUCCACGCAUCGUCAUUGAAGAGGCGUACCACUGAUAAAGGAUGAUUAGUCCACCACUUAAAUUUUAAGAAUUUAAACCCAUAUACCUAUAUUAGCCAAAUCCUCAAACUUGAGAUUAUCUUCUCUAUAGAUGUGCGAAGAACGAAACAUGUUCUUGAUCAUGUCUUAACAGUUAAGUCAUUUAGUACGAAAAAGGUCAUGAUAAAUUAUAAUUGUUAUUGAGGAGACAAGCUAAGCUGCUGUCGAGUCACUCAAUUGGGACUUGCUUUACCACUUAUUGUGUAACAUCAUCAAUUGAACCACACCAGUUUUUCAGAUUUUGCUUUCUUGAUCUUUGCUUAUACUUGAUUCUGAUCUCUUGCGAUAGAUUUAUCAUAGGUUGAUUAUUAUAGUCCUUCUAUCCAAUAAGACGGAAAGAUCAAAGAGAGGUUCAUCAACUGGAACCAAACGAGAAUGUAUUCAAUCUAUAUGAGUUAAGUGCAAUUAGAGAUGAUCUGUCCGGAUUUGGAAUUGAAAUUAGCUCCAAUUUUUUUUUUUGGAACAGAUUGGGAGGUAUCUUGAUGGAUGAACAUUGAAAAAUAAAAAUACAGACCGAAUGAUUUUUAAAUAAUUUUGUCUGGUUAGCUCAAUUUGAAUUUUGGAGAGAAAUUAAUUUGCAGUGAAAAUGGGGCCAAACUUCUCUGAAAGGGCGAAAGGUAAUUUGACCUUGGACCAAAAAUAUUCAAAAGGGUGAGAGGGAAAAAUAUAUUUAAGUUGAUUGUUUGUUAAAGACAGACGGCGAAAUUUUUUUGAAGGCUUCACGAUGCUACUUCUCUACUUUUCUACUAGGAGUCAGUGCUACUUAUAUAUUUAUCAUUGUCAACAACAUGUGGCCCAAUUGCUGGACUUCUUUUAAUUUCUACUGAAAAAAAUUAAUUUUUACAGUGUAAAAGGAUUUAAUACUCAUUUAAUCUCUAUAUUUUGACUUAAAUAUUUAUUUAGUUAAUAUAUUUUAAAAAUACCUCAAAACACUCGUGCAGUUAAAUAUACUAUAUUUUUAAUUUCUUACCCUUACUUUUCUUUCCUUCUAUAAUUAUAAACUUUCACUGAUAUUCUUGAAAUUGAUUAAUUUAUCUAUAAAAAAGUUAAUUAGUAAUUUAGCCAAUAAAUAUCAGUAUGAAAGAACUAGUAUUUUUUGUACCCAUGCAACUUAAAAACAAUGUUCAAUAUCCUUACAACAAUCUUACUAGUAGUUAUUUAUAAAAAAAUUAAUUCACCAAGUUAAUCCUAAAAUAAAAAUAAUAAUAUAAAUGUUUAUGCAAUUUUUAUGUUACUUCUAAAAUUAAUUUGAUAAAUUACUAUUUUUUCAUUAAUAUCUCCAAGAAUGUUUUUGCAAGAGUAUUAUUGUAAAAGAAAAGAAAAAGUAAGGAUAGAAAUGUAAUAUGAUUAACAGUAGGAGUGUCUUGAGAUUUUUUUCUAAAAUAUAGAGAUUAAACAUGGACUUAACACAAAAUAUAGUGAUUACAUCAAGCAUUUAUCUCAGUAAAAGAUUAAUUACUCUCUCUUUCCCCAUAGGAAAAAUGAUAAGAACACCAUACAAGAUAAUCUUAAUGGUUUUCUAGAAUCUUUUUCUUUAAGAAACUAUUAAGUUGCUAUCAUAAUUUUUGAUUGGCACAGCAAAUGCCCAUAUGAUAAAAUAUAUAAAAUUAGCGUGUAGAUAAUGUGAUACAAUGAAUGCCGGUUCAUGUGUCCUCAUAGCCCUACUUCUGACGGGAUGGGCACGUCGCAUUGGUUGUCUCUACUAAUGCUUAGUAGUCAGCUAAUAACUUAAAAAAAAGGUAAAAUUGAAUAUAUUCAUUCCACUAAAUUUAAGCUCGUUGAACUUGACCGAAGGACUUGAAUGGAUGAGUGGUACGCGGAGGACCUUUUAUAAGGUUCCAAUUUUAUUUAAUAAUAAUCAUAAAAAUCCAAGAGGACCAAGACUAUGGAACUGCCAGGAAAUUUUAUCAUGAAAAAUCAUAAUAAGAAUGUAACUUACUGAAGAUAUUUUAUUCGGGCAAUAGAGCUUAAAAAUCCUCAAGCCUUUUCAAUUUCUUAAAAAGCCUCGAGCGUUUGAGAUGCCUCUCCCUGCAUCAACUCUUGUGAGCUCCCUUUAAUUUUCUCUCUCUUUUUUUAUUUAUUUUUUUUUUAAUUUUAUUCUUAUUUUAUUUUUCUAGUUAUGGUUGUCAAUUAGUUGAAUAAUUAUAGUAAUCGAUUUUAGAGACAAUGCGAUCGAUUCCCUAGUGGGUCCUGAUAACUUUUCCAGAUAAAUUUGAGCUCUUAAUGGCAUUAAACCAUUGAGAGAGAAAGUGAAUAAGUUGAUAAAUUUUCUAUAAACUACUUUUUUUUAAAAUUUUGAAUAUUCACUUCGUUAAAAAAAAAGUAAUUUUUUAAUAUUCAAAUGGCCACUAUUUAUUUUUCUUUAAUUAAGGAGUUCCUAAAAGAGCCAUAAAUUAAGAAUAGUGACAAUUGUAUAUAGUAUUGGUUGAAUCUAUUUUUCUUCAUUAAUGUGAUAAUAUUAUACAACCUAAUAAAUGAUGACAUGUCAUAUCUUUCAUUAAUUUUGGAUUUAAACAAUGUAUCCCAGCAAUGGGUACAUGUAUCAUGACUCCGCUUUAUAUCUGCAAUUAAAAUUCAGGACUAAUUUACGAUGUCAUAAUUGAAUUUAAGACAUUGUAAAGAUAUGUUUAUGACAUCAUAAGUUUGUCCAAGACUUUAAUGCCAAAUUAAAAAAAAAUUGUAUGUCACAUAACUCUUAUUUAUUUGUAACUGUGAUGUAGAUCUCAGUGAUAUUGGUCAAAAUUUUUUAAAAAUAUGCUACGUAGAUUCUUGAUUUUAAUUUAAUAGAUAGGAAUAGAUACAAUUUAAAUUAAAUGAGAGGUAAGCUAUUCAAGUAGGCAUUUAUUUGGAUCGACUGCAUGCAAAAUAAAAAUAAUGAGGGUCUGCUUGUAAUAUUCCCAUUAUUUAAUUUUACUAAUUUAUAAAAUUAUUGUAAUAAGCUGUGGAUAUCCAAAUUUUAUAAAUUUCACACUCACUCUUUUAUAGCACCGUAAAGUAGCAAUACAACAUAACAAAGGACCUUGAUACACCAAAGGGCUUGUAGCCUAUUGACAACCCAUGCGCCCAAUUGGGUUCGAGUUCCAACAAUAGCCCAAUUGGGUUUGAGUUUCAACAAUAGCUAGGAUUUGAUUUCACUCAUAGUAGGGAUUUAUUUGUCUCCCUUCAUUUAGAGUAGAAUAGAUCUUCUUUAGUAUUAAGUGAGGGUUGACCUUUGAGUUAUGCCAUAAUAGAAUUACUAAAGGGAGUCCCAAUCGAUUUCUGAUUGUAAAGAGCUCUGAUUGUAAUAUAUUAGUAUAUUAAAAAAAAGGCCCUUGAUUCAAAAUAAAUAAUGAUUCACCUUAUCAUCAAUGCACAAGAAAUGUACUAAGAGCAAAGGUUGGUAAAUUCGCAUGUAAAUAAUAACAUGAAGGAACACUUUAUGUAUGCAAAUAAUUACAUCACAUUGAAAAAAAACUGAAUGAAUUUUUUGAACAAGUUAAUUUGCAGAAAAUGGGCACAAAAUUUUUUGAAAUAGUGAAAUGGAAGUUGAGCUUGGGAGCAAUAAUUAUUCAGAAAGGCGGGAGAAAAAAUAUUCUCAAGCAGAUUUUUGGUUGACAGAAGGCAAAGAAUUUUGAAGGCCUCACAAUGACACUUAUCAACAUGUGACCCAAUUGCUAGACUUACUUUUUAUUUCUACGGAUAAAAUUACUAUGAGGGGUGCUACUGGCGCCCCGCCUCUGCAGUUGAAUAUUUUCAAGGGUUAUUGACAGGUGGUAUUAGUCAGUUUCAGCAGUCAAACUUUGAUUUUACUCCGUCUCUGGUGGCUAUCGGGGAUGAUGUGAAUCUAUGUAGAAAGCUAGAUAUGGAUGAGGUUAGGUAGGUGGUUUUCUCUAUUGAUCUUGACAGUGCUCCGAGUCCUGAUGGGUUCUACAGUAAGUUUUAUUAGUACUGUUGGGAUAUUAUUAGCAAUGAUUUAUUAGAGGCUGUCCUUGAUUACUUCAGAGGUUCGACUAUGCCUAAGGUUUUCAGAGUACAUUAUUGAAUUUUUUUCCUAUGAAGUCGUCCCCAACAUCUUGGAUAGAUUUUAGACCGAUCAGUUUAUGUAAUAUUAGUAACAAGGUUAUGACCAAACUGCUUGCGUUGAGAUUGGCCCCUCUGUUGCCUCAUCUUAUUUCUCAUUCUUAGAGUGGUUUUGUCCCCUAGUAGAGUGAUACAUAAUAAUGUGCUUUUGGUUUAGGAGUUGGUCUAUGAUCUCAACCAUUGUACUCGGGGAAAUAAUGUGGUGCUGAAGCUUGACAUGGCAAAGGCUUGAUCGGAUGUCAAGGUCUUUCAUUAUUAAGAUGUUGCGGUGUUUUGGGUUUUCAAAGCGGUGGGUUUCUUUGAUUCGACGAGUCCUUAGUUCUCAGUCUUGGUGAAUGGAGUCAGCCAUAGUUUUUCUAGUUUAAGGGAGGUCUUAGGCAGGGCGAUCCUCUCUUCUCAUGUUUAUUUAUCAUUGCUACUGAGUUUCAAUCUCGAGGUUUGGACCGUAUAUACGCUCAAUAUCCUUCUAUGCGAUAUUGUUCUGCCACACCUAUCGUUGUCUCUUAUUUAAACUUUGCAGAUGAUAUUGUUAUUUUUUUAAAUGGGAAUCGAUCGAGUCUUUAGCGACAAUUGAUUAAUCAAGCCAAAAGCAGUUUUUACAUUAGAACUUUGGCUUUUGCUUCACGACAGGCUAUUGUCCAUUCAAUCACUGACUUUCAGUGGUGUCAGCUUCCAUUCACUUAUCUUAGGUGUUCGGUCUUUACAAGGCAUCUCAAGAUUUCUCAUUUUGAUGAUAUGGUCCAAAAAAUUAGGGAUAAGAUCUCGAAAUGGGCCAAUCGGUUGCUUUCUUUCGGUGGGAAGCUAGUGCUUGUUUGACAUGCGUUGUCUUCUAUGCUGUCGUGUUCUUUGCCCACCUACAACUGUAGUACAAUACUUAGAAAGGUUCUUCAACCUAUUCUUAUAGGGUGAUUCUGUGUCAAGAUAUUAGAUUCAUUGGUGUAAACGAGUCAGGUUUAGGUUCGUCAUUCCGCCUCUCCUCUUUAGAGAUGACUAUGUUCGGUUUGGUGGGUUGUUGAACCUCAUAUGCAUUGGUCGGUCGGUUGUGGUGAGUUUUAGGUAUGAUUGCUGGCUAGCCUCUUGCCCUUUGGCCUCCUAUAAUCUUGCAGCGGCUUCUGGGGUGCUGGUUUCUUUUUAUUGGUGAGGUACAACAUGGGAUCAAGGUAAGCUCUAAGAUGUGUUACCCUCUUCGAUUGUGGCACAAAUUUUAUUGGUUCCUUUCUCUAGUAAAAAACUUGAUAUAAUUUGGUGGGCUUCCAGCCAUGAUGGCCUAUUUCAUUUGCGGACAGCGUGGGAGCUUGUGCAUUGUUCUAGGCAGAGAGAUGAGGUUUUUUUCGCUUAUCUAGCAGCGACAUAUCCUUCUAGAGUUUUCUUUUUUCUCUGGCAGAAAUUGCAUGGUUUUUUGGCUACUGAUAAUGCCUUAUGUUAGAGAGGAAUUUGUAUGGUCUCCUGGUGUAUUUGUGAUAGGGUUGAGACUUCUCAGAAUUUUUUCCUUGAUUGCCCACAUGUUAGGUUAAUAUAGGUUAAUUUUUGGGGAAAUUUAGGUAUGCGAGAUGUGGUUUUUUUAACCCCGCAUGCUUUGCUUUGUUAUUGGAGACGGUGUGCAUCAACUCGGAGUCAUAUUUGAGUCCUUUUUCCUUACUUUAUUUUGUGGCAAGUUUCGAAGGCUUGCAAUGCUUUCAGGUUUGAUAGGGUAGAGAUCUCAUCUCUUAAUAGGCAUUGAUUUUUCUAUUAGCUGGAAUUAAAUUUAAUGGAAAUUUUACUAGAUAAUUCACAUUUACAAGUGUUGAGACCAAUAAAGAAGAUCAAAAAUAUCUACGAAAGUGAGAAUGUGAACACGCCUGACCAAAACUACAUUGGAGUAGUGACUGUGGAAGAUUUUCAAUUUUGGUUCAUGGGGUUUUUGCGCUAUGAAAAAGCUUGCAUAAAUCUUCAGAAGGCCAUUUCGAAGUCAACGAAAUUAAAUGAUUAGGAUAUAUUUUGAAGACAAUAAGCUCAGCUAGCAAGCUUUGACAAUCAUUUUAAAAUAGCGUACUUCAUAUCAUAUGCUUUAGUUCUGUGUAUAUGAGUAAAGGUUAUUAUAUAUCAUAUAUACCUCCUGCAAGUAAAGAAAUUGCAUUUUGGUUUUGCUACAAUUGCAAUUAACAAUUUGUUAUUUAUUUUUACAUAAAUGCGUAAAGCUUUAUUAAAGAAAAACAGGAGAAGAGGUAUGAAAAUUACAAGAAUUAAAGUUAAGAAAAAUGAUAAUGGUGUAAUCUCUACUCAUCCUCCUUAGGAGGCGUAUCAUGAAUUGAGGAGGAUCAUUCCACCAUGUCAGAUUCACACAAUUUAAGUCUAUAUUAGUCAAAGUAUCAGCCACAAGAUUGCCUUCUCUAUAAAUGUGGGAACAAUGGAACUGCAUGUUGUUGAUUAUAUCUUAACAAUUAAGUCAUCUAGCGUGAAGAGACCAUGAGGGAUUAUAAUUGUUAUUAGGAAUAAAAGCUAUAACUACUGUGGAGUCACUCAAUUGGAACUUCCUUUACCACUUUUUUCCAAAACAUCAUCGAUUGAACCACACCAGUUUUUUCAGGUUUUCCUUCCUUCAUCUUUGCUUGACAUGAUCUGAUCUUUGUUUGUAAUUGAGUAUGAUUUCUUGUGGUAGAUUUAUCAUAGGUUGAUUAUUAUUGUCCACAUCCAAUAAGAUGGAAAGAUCUAAACCAAGUUUAUCAACUGGGAUUCCAUACGAACGUGAAUGUAUUCAAUCUAUACGAUCUAAGACCAAUUAGAGAUCGAUGAGAAUUAGGAAUUGAAAUUGGUCCUAAAUUUUUUUGUAUAGAUUGGGAAAUAUCUUGGGAUCCUGAACCUUUUUACUAUUUUUCUUUAAAUUUGUAUCUGAAACUUAAAAAAGAAAAAAAUAAUAACAUAGUGGUUUUUAAAUAAUUUUAUUUAAUUAGUUUAGCUCGAAUUUUGAGAAAUUAGAUAUUAAAAAAUUGAUUUAAAUUUUACAUAUCUCUCUACGUUUAAGAAAAAAUGGAACAAAGACUAAAAUCUCUAAUCACUAAACUUGAUCUAAACAUGACAAGGUCCACGUCCAUGCUAGUAGAGAUGGUAAAAAUAUUCAGGUCCAGUUUAGAUUUACAAAGAUCUGGAAGGUCUGGAUCAGGAAAAAUCUUAUCUGCGCUUUAAAAAAUGCAGGUCUCGAUAUUAAAAUUGAAAAUCCAUACGGAUUCGGGUGUAGAUCUAAAUGCAUGUGCAUCCAAAAAACCGGAUAUCUGGAUCUGUGUUAUUUUUUAAUUAAUUUAUUGAAUAAAUUGGUAAUUAAAAUAUUUUAAAUACUUGGAAUAUGGGACUGAGUAUUAGAAAUGGUUUGGGAUUAAUUAGUCCUAAUUUUAGUUCUGAAUGUACAACCAAGACAAGAUUUGGUCCAUAUUGAUGGAAACAAAAAAAUUAAUUACACAAUUAUUUGUCUCUAUCUUAACUAUUAAUUUAGAAAGAUUGAUGGUCAAAUAAAUAAAGAUUGAUUGACUCAAUUUUUACUAAUCAAUCAUUAUUCCUAAAUUAUUUUAUUUUAAUUGGUUAAUUUCCUUUUUUAUGUCUCAAAUACUUGCAAAAAAUGAUUUGCAAGAGUGCUUCGUUUAGUGAAAUUUGUUUUAUAACUUAUUUUUGGAGAUUCAUUGAAAAUUAGUGGCGUGGAAGUAACUAAGAACUCUUGCUUGUUCUUAAUUCGAUUUCUUAUCUAUUAAAACGAAAAUCAAUUUCUAGUGCUUGCUAGACUGAUCAUAGGCUGAUUAAUCAGUCUUUAGAUCACAUGGCUGGGAAGGCUUGAGUGACGAUAUAGAGCUCCACUCCCACGUUAAGUUAAUUAUCAUUUUAACUUGGCUUAUGAAUUAUAACAAAAAAUCUUGUCCUCAACAUAACCUAAAUAGGAAAAUGAUAAGUUAACCAAAAUAACAACAUGAUAAAGACAGCUCUAAACUAUUAUUCGUGAACAAGCAUGCAAACAUUAAUUAAUUCUUACUGUUACAACUUUUAUUCAUUUAGCAAAGCAUCAUUCUAUAGACGUUCAGAUGCGCAUAACGUAAAAACAUAACAAGCUUUAUUUUUAACCUCAAGCUUUUAUUCAGCAGCUCCAUCUUCAAGCCUUUAGAAAAAUAACACUGAACGGGAUAUCACUCAGAGCCAGAUGCCGCACCCCACCGUUCAUAAAAAUGCAAAAAAUUUUGCAAAACUUACAAACCAAAGGACAACAAACAAGCUCGUAAUCACCAUAAAACUUCUCAAUCUUGAACCAAUUUCUUGUAGUUUGUGGGCCAGGAUUGCCUUCAACUCCCCCAAUUGUCACAAACCACUGCCCCAAUGCUGCAUCAAAAUUGUCAAGCUUCCAUAUUGUGGAUUGCACACUAGUUUUUACAACUUCAAAUUUGAUGUUUGAACCAAUGGACUAACAAAUAACGCCCUUUUUAGGGUUUACAGGCGAAAAUGUCAUUGACAAACCAUAUUUUUGUAUGUUUUGCUCUUGAACAACAUGUAGCGGAAAUGUUUUAUUGUCACUGUUGGAAAUUCGAGGGUGCAGCAAACACACAAUUAAAGUGAAAUUUAGAAAUAAUGAUCACACAAGGACACCAGAAUUUACGUAGUUUGGUUUUUAGCCGACAUCCCUGGGUGAAGACAGAAGAAAAUAUUUUACUAGUGGAAAGGAGUUAUAAGUAUUGUAGUAUUUUGUCUUAACCCAAAACUCCAAUACAACCAAACUCUCAAAACACUAGAACUAGAGCUCAAAGCUCUCAACACUCUCAACUUACACCUCUUGGUACUCUCACUUGAAUGAGAGAAAAUGGGAUGAAUGAAGAGGGCAAAUGAGGCCUCUAUUUAUAGGCCAAGCCAUGCCAAAAAAUCAACAAUGGUGGGUAUUAAAAUAAUAUAAAUUUCCACCCAACUUUUCUACUUUAAUGCCAAAGUCAAAAGUUGAUCCCUCCCACUUACCUUUGUUUCCCACUUACUCAGCAACUUUAUGCCAAGAGUAAAAAAGUUACAUGCUAGUUCACAUGUAAUUGUUUGCCACAUGUAUGCACAUGCUCAAUAAUUCUCCCACUUGGAGACUUGAUUGAGAACCAAUCAUGUCUCCACACCAUCAUUUCUUCUUCACAAUUAUCAUGUUGCUUCCGUCCUUCACUACUUCUCGAAUGAAGUGGUAUUGUACCGUAUGUGCUUUGUCCUAAAAUGAAAGGUUGGAUUCCUUACAAUGUGUAAGACACUCUGACUGUCACAAAAUACAUGAUUUUUUCCUUAUUUGUGUCCGAGCUCCUCCAAUAACCUUUGUAUCCAAAUAGUUUCCUUGCAAGCUUGUGUAGCUGCCAUAAAUUCUACUUAUGUUGUAGAUAAAGCCACAACAGUGUGCAGUUUUGAAAUCCAGUUUACAACUCCUUCUGCAAGUGUAAACACAUAGCCAGUAGUAGAUUUCUUUUUAUUAAGGUCUCAUACAAAAUCUAAAUCCAUGUAGCUCUUGACAGUAAACUCUUAUCCUCCAUAACAUAAUGCAACAUCCGAGGAUCCUCUGAUGUAUCUCAGAACCUCUUCACAGUUUUCCAAUGCUCUUCAUUAGGAUUCACCAUAUACCUAUUGACCACUGUCUCUGAUUGUGCAAUAUCUGUUUUAGUGCAUAUCAUAGCGAACGUCAAAUUUCCCACUACUGAUGCAUACAGUACUCAAGACAUCUCAUUCCUCUUUGCUUCAUUGUUAGGACACAUACUUGAGGAUAACUUGAAAUUAAUAGUAAGUGGGGUAGAAAUUAGUUUACAAUCUUACAUGUUGAAGUGCCAUAAGAUUUUCUUCAAGUAAUUCUUCUAAGAAAGCCAAAUCUUUUUGUUAUUUCUUUCUCAGUAAAUUUGUAUCCCUCGAAUCUUGUUUGCUGGUCCCAAGUCCUUCAUUUCAAACUCUCUACCAAAUUUUACCUUUAAUUCUUAGACUCGGUCUUUGUUGGGGCCUACUAUCAACAUAUCAUCUACAUAUAACAACAAAAUGAUAAAAUCACUUUGGGGCCUCUUGUAGUAUGCACAAUGGUCUGAAUUAAAUCUGUUGCAUCUAAGGCUCAUGAUGAAGGAAUUAAAUCUCUUAUACCAACACCUCAGCUCCUGUUUAAGACCAUAUAGAGAUUUGUUCAACUUGCAAACCAAGUUCUCCUUACAUGUUUCAGCAAAACCUUCUAGUUGAAGUAUAUAAAUCUCUUAUUCAAGUUCUCCCUGAAGAAACGCAAUUUUCACAUUUAACUGCUUUAGAUACAGGUCAAAUGUAGCACACAUUGCCAAGACUAUUCUGACUGUCGUAAGUCGAACUACCAGAGAAAAUAUCUCAUUGAAGUUAAUGCCUUCUUUCUAAGCAUAUCCUUUUGCCACCAAUCUUGUACGAUACCUCUCUACUCGAUCUUUGCCAUCACGUUUGAUCUUGUAGACCCAUUUGUUACUAAUGGCUUUUCUACCAUAUGGUAGUGGUAUAAGUUCUCAUAUCUUAUUUUAUUACAGAGAUUCAAUUUCUUCCUGCAUUGCUGUCAUCCACAAAGUAACAUCUAAGUUGUUUAAAGUUUUAUGGAAAGUUAAUGGCUCUCUAUCCUUUAUUAGAAGAUAAUAUGCAACAUUGAUCUCUGUAACAUACUCUGUGUGCCACACCGGUGGUCGUCUCUCUUAAGUUGACUAAGGAACUUCUAUAGCUUCGAACUCGACUGGUUUUUGUUCCUCGUGCUCUGGUGCCGCUUCAAAAGAAUCUAAACAUUUUUUUUUGGAUUAUUUUCCAUAUAUACUAGUAUAAUCUCUGACUUUUCUUUCACAGUGCUAUCAUCCCCAUCUUUCCUUUUUAGUUGAUCUUCUACAAAGAUAACAACUCUACUGAUGACAAUCUUGUGGGAAGUGGAAUCUCAUAGACAAUACCCCUUCACUCCAUCAACAUACCCCAAGAAGAUAUAUCUCUUGGAUUUUAGAUCCAGUUUUAUUUUUUCUUGGGCAUUGUACAACACGUACACAAGACAUCUAAAUGCGUACAAUCAAAAGUAAUUAGCUGGCUUCCCAAUCCACAUCUCCAUUGGUGUCUUCAACCUAAUUGUUGUAGAUGGCGAUCGAUUCACCACAUAACAGGUAGUUUUGGCUAUUUCUGCCCGAAAUGAGUUUGGUAGACCAGCAGUCCUCAACAUGGCUCGUAUCUUUUCUGUAAGAGUUUUGUUCAUCCGCUCUACUACUCCAUUCUGUUGAGGAGUGUUUGCCAUUAUGAACUAUCUCUGAAUACAUUCUUGCUUACUAUUGCAAGAAACUCGCCGUUUGUAUACUCUCCACCAUUAUAUGUCCUCAAACACUUGAUCAUUUUCUCAUAUUUAAGUUUUAUCCGUGCUUUGUACUACGUAAAUAUUGGAAAUACAUAUGACUUUUUCUUGAUUGGAUACACCCAACAUCUCCUGAAAUAAUCAUCAAUGAAAGUCACCAUGUACUUUGCACCUUCUAAGGACUUAUCUGGUGAUUCCUAAAUAUUACAAUGAGCCAAGUCUAUAAUGCAUUUAUUUCUGGCGUCAGAUCUAUUGAUCUUUAAUAUAUGAGACUUACUUGUAACAUAGUGCUCGUAAAACAAUAAGUUCGCCAAUUUAAGCCCUGAAAGCAACUUCCGUUUAGAGAGAAUUUUCAAACCUUGUUUGACAUGUGGCCAAGUUUGAGAUGCCACAUCAUCAUCAAUUCUUUUCCAUUUGACACGAUACACGCAUCAACUUCCUCUAAUGUUUUACCUUUAAACAUGAAUAGAUUGGCACUGAUCUUUUUCACUUUCAUCAAUACAAGCGCAUAUUUGACAAUCUUAAUGAUCCAAUUUUCCACAUAAGUCUUGCAGCCAAGACUAUUUAUUUGUCCUACAAACAAUAGAUUUUUCUUCAAGCCUUUAACAUGUCGUACAUCCUGAAAAAUACGAACUAUACCAUCAAACAUUUUUAUUUUAACAGUACCAAUACCAGCGAUUUCCAAGGCAUUAUCAUCACCCAUAUAUACAAAUCUUCCUAAGAUAGGUUCACAUUUGUGGAGUCAUUCUCUCUGAGAGAUCAUGUGCCAGGUAACUCCUGAGUCAAUAAGCCAAACGUCAGAUAGUUGUUUUCUGCUUUUUGCAACCAUUGCUGCCUCACUGUAUAAAACGUCGCCAUCAUCUUAGGUACUUGCUACACACCUCUGAGCAUUUGAUGACUCAGGAUCUUUACACUCUCCUCUUUUCUGGUUACUCCAACACUCUUUCUUGACAUUCCCCAUUUUGCCACAUUUGUAGCAUCUGACCUUCUUCUUACUUCUUUACUUUGAUCUUCAAACAAUGUCUACUACAAAAUACACAGGGCACUCUCUGUUUCCUUUUUCAAUUCAAAAUCUUAGAAAGAUUUCACAAUUGAAUAAAUCAGUGCAUUGAUUCUAAUUAUUAUGCUACUUCUUUUUGUUAUUAUUAUUUAGCUUAAUGUCAACCAAAGUUUCAUCCUACUCAUUUGAACAAAGUUCGAACCUUGAAUCUAUUGUUUUUAACAGAAAGGAUUUUAUAAUUUCGAACAGAUGAUACCUACAAAAGUUACGAUGCUACUUUCAUAUAGUAGAGUUACAAAAUUUUAUAAAACUUACAAAAAUACUAAAAUGUUCAUAUACAGUAAAAUCUCUAUAAAAAGAUAUUGUUGAAACUAGGAAAGUUUUUUAUCCUGAUGAUGGUUAUUUAUUAAUUAAUGAAGAAUUUGAUAAUUUAUUGGUAAAUUAAUGAAUAUUUAUUAAUUUAAGACGAGUAUUACUUUUUAAUUACUUGUGUUAUUUAGGCAUGUGUAGUAUUCUUUUCACAAAUAUUCGUGCAUGAAUUUCAAAAGUUAUCAUAUAUAUACAAAAAAUUCUAAUAAAUGUAAUGAACAUAUACACAGAAGCACAAAAUAAUGUAAGUAUAUUGUACAUAGUUUCAAAUUUAGUACCCUCUGAAGAUAAAGUGUUUCAGAUGCUUAGAGUACAUAGAUUAAAAAGUCUAUAAGUACAUUGGUCAUUAGUGUAAAAUUGUUUUACACAUAUUUUUAGAAAAGAGUUUAAUUAAAAAAUUAUAGUUUUUAAGAAAACAAUCCUAAUUAAAUGUAAUGAAUUUUAUAUGUUAUUUAUUAUUGAUAUUUCUUGUAAUUAACUAAUUAUUAAUUUAUAUUUUCAUUGGACCCUAAAGGAUUCAUGUAAAAAAAAAUUAUUUUAUGCAUUUAUCAAAAUUGUUAAUUUAGUGCAAUGACCAAGUCAGGACCAGAAGAUUUUAUUAUUUAAAAAAAAUUAUUAAUAAUUUUUAGACUUUUCAUAAGUUUUAAAUUUAUUAAUUUUUAAUUUUUAGUACAUUAAUUUAUUGAAUAUUUAUUCAUCGAUGUCUUACAGAAGAUUUAAAUAAUUUAUGAUAAAGUAAAUGAGUUUUCAUUAGAUGGUGUCAAAUUUCUGAAACUCUAUUUUUGAUAAAAGCACCACAGCCGUUAAUAAAAAAAGAAAACAUUUGCAUUCAUUUAGAUCACAUGAGUGGGCAAAAUCAUAUUUGAGUGAUUACAUGUUUGCUCUCGUAGGAUGGCCUUGGCUACCCAAGUUAUUAAAAGGAAUUGAAAAUUUACCCAUUUUGUAAAUUUAUGUUUAGCCUCCUUAUUUUUCUAAAGGGAGAUUGAAAGUUUGUAUCCUAUUGAAAUGAAUAUAUAUCACAUGCCUUCUACUAUUUUUAUAAUAUUUAAUAACCCUCUUGGCAUAAAAAUUAACAAAAAAAAAAAAGAAGAGAAGUAAAUAAGUCAUUUGCUCGAUAUUUGGUAUUGGAAAUAUAAAAUUAUUAGAAGAAAAAUAUUAAAAGAAAUAAAGUACAAGAAAAAUAUCUUGUGAUAAAUUUUUUAUUCAUAUCAAAAUCUAGGAAAUGUACUUAUUUUUUAUUUUUAUUUAUAUAUUUUAUUUAAUUUAUAAUAAAUAUAAAUAAAAGUGUAAUAGAAAAUAAGAGUAAUAUUAUAAAAUAAUGGUGCCAGGUGAUUAUUAAAUAUUAUGAAAAUAGUAAGGGUAUAAGCAAUAUAUACUCAUUUCAAUAGGGAGGAAACUUACCAUCACCCUUAUUCUAGGCAAUUUCAUCUGUAUAGCAUCUAUGCAUGGUUUAUUUAUCAUAGUCCCAUUGUUGGCUUCUUCAAUUUUAUAUUCAUAUUAUACAUUUUCUGAAUGGAGUUGACUAUCACAAUAAUUUGAUCUUCUUCGUACUUUGAAAUGAAAAUGUUGCCACUAAUGAGGAAAAUGAUGAACCAAAAUACCAACAUGAAGAAAAGUUUUUAUUAUUCGUAAACGUGCAACGUUCGUGCAACUUUUAUUAUUACAACUUAAUUUAUUCACUUAUUAAAGCAUGCGUACAACCCUAAAACGAAACAAACUUUAUUUUUAACUGCAAGCAUUUGCGGAGCUCUCAGCAGCUCGAUCUUCAAACCUUUUUAAACACAACUUUGAACGGAACAUCACUCAAAGCCAGACGCCGCACCCCACCAUUAAUAAAAAUGCCAACAUCUCUGCACAAACCUCUGCAGAAGUUACAAACCGAAGGACAGAAAACAAGCUUGUAAUCGCCAUAAAACUUCUCAAUCUUAAACCAAUUUCUCAUGGUUCUGGGGCCGGGAUUGCCUUCAACUCCCCCAGUGGUCACAAGCCACUGCCCUAAUGCCGCAUCAAAAUUGUCAAGCUUCCACACUGUGGACUGCGCACAACUUGUUGCAGCGUCAAAUUUGAUGUUUAAGUCAGUGGACUCACGAACAACGCCCUUUUUAGGGUUAACGGGCGAAAAUGUUACCGGAAAACCAUUUCUCAAUGAGUGCUGCUCUUGAACAACAUCUAGGGGACAUGUCUUAUUGUUGCUUCUGCCAGCAAGUGUAAGCCCGCCGCCUUGGCCCUUUGUAACGGGCAAGAUGUAGUACUUACUGCCAGCUCGGAGCUGCUUACCGGCGAUGUCCAGCACCGGAUCAGGUGAAGCAUUGCCCCUGACAGGCAAUGGCGUUGCAAUGAAGGCAAAGAGAAGAAUCAGCGAGGUUAAGACUAGUGUGCUUCUCAUUGUUAUAUCGUUAUAUUUUUUGUUCUUAUCUUUUGUUGUUGCGUGUAAAUAGCCCUUAUGAGACCAAAUUUAUAGAGUUAGGCUAGUAUAGUUAAUUAACGGACAGCAAGUUGGUUUGGUUCGCCUAAUAUCUGAUUCGAGAAGCCAAUGGUCGCCUACAAGACAAGAGCGGAUUAUGACAUUCUGUUUUGUGAACUGUAAUUAUUAUUUUUUUUCCCGCCUAAACAGCCUGAUAAGAAGAUUUAAUAAAAAUUCAACAAUAGAAAGCGUAGUUUACUAAUAAAGUCAAAGAUUUAGUUUAGAAUUAUAAGUCAAUAAUCUUACCUUUUCUCUUACACUAAAUUUAAUCGAAUUUAGAUCUGAUUCCUCAGUCUUUGUCAAUGGUUUUGUCAUUUUGUUUAAAUCGCAUAGUAUAUAUGUUUAAUUUUAAGGAUAUGUUUAUUUUCUUUUUGUGCUGAAGUUAGUCUCGUCAAGCUAGGUGUUUGUCGAAAAAUUAAAUUAGAAAAGAAAUGAUAAAGCAUAUGUUUAGGGAGGCACAACUUGUCCCCUCUUCUUGAAUAUAAAAAUUGCACCAAGAAUUUGAAAACAAGAAAUGAUGUAGAAAGACAUUUAGGUGAAGAUAUCAAAGCAUGUUACUAGCCGAUAUAUUGGCUAAGCUCAUAUGGAGAUGCCUGUUAGUAUUAAAUUAUGUGAAAUUAUGAGUUGUAUAUCCUAAAUUUUUCAUGUUAUAAAAAAUAUUAUGUAAUUUUGAAUUUCUUUGAUUUUCCACUCUAAGUUUGUAAAUUAUAACCGUAUACAAACUCAAGAUGGAAAAUCAAAUAAAUUCAAAUUUUUAUCAUAUUUUAUAAUAACAUGGUGAACUUAAGGUAUAUAGCUUAUAAUUUUUCUAAGUUUUAUUUUAUUAUUUACAGUGAAAAGUCAAAAAUGCCUUUGAAUUCAAGGGUAAAAUUAUCUUUUCACUUAGAUUCUAUUGAAUAUUAUAAUAGUGUUAACAUUUUGGUGGGCGGUAAUACAAUUUACAAGCUUAGAGUGAAAAUUCACAUAAAUUCAAAUUUUUGUAUUAUUUUUUUAUAGUAAGGUAAACUUAGUAUAUAUAGUAAAUAAUUUUUCUUUAUUUAUUAAUGUUUAGGCCCAUUUUUUAGCCCAAACGGACUACAAUAUUAAUGAAUUUGUCUUUAAAAGGGAUUGGAGUAGGGAUAGCGAAUUGAUCCAUCCAAGUUGGAUAUCCAUAUAUCCAAUUUAAUUGGGUUAGAUAAUAUAUAUCCGAUGCAUUUUGGAUAUGGAUAUGAUUUUUUUUUAAAUAUAUAAUUAGAUAUUGGAUGGAUAUGUGAAUCCAUUUAUCUGAUUGGGCUAAAAAUAAUAUUUUAUAAAAUUAAAAUGAAGUGAAGAAUUAUAUUUGCCAUAAUAUUCAUUUACCCGAAUGUCAUACCCUUUUCUAUUUUUUAUUUAGCAAAUCCUAGGUUCUCUUUUUACUUCACACGUCAGCUACUAGUUGCUCGCGAGCCAUUGAUCACACCGGUUGUUGCUUAUUCACGGGACAUUGAUAUUAGUUUAUUCCCGACUUUGCUAUCUCCUCUUCAGCGUUACAGCUUCUUCUUUUUCUUAUUUAACAUAUCUUUCUUUUUAUCUUUCUCUCAGUGCAUUAAUAACUACAUGUGUACAUAGCUUUUAUUUUAUGUCUGUGUUUUGAUAUCAAUUGAUGGUCCAAAUGUUGCGUGAACUGUGGAAGUUUUCUUCUUUGCUUGAGUUAAAUGAAUCAUUUGAAAUAUACCAAUAAUUUGGUGUUCGCAUGUUAAUUUAUGGAUAAUUCGACAUAAUUCACAUGUAGAAAUUAUUUUUGAAAUUUAUGGGCUAAAUAAAUUUUAUGGACUAAAAAUUCAUUUCAAACACCUGCCAUUUCUUGUAAACUAAUACUUACUUGGUAAAAAUGGUUAUUGUUUAAAUUACUUUUAUUUGUGAGUGUAUAAUUUGAUGAAUAGUGGAUUUGAAAUAUUUCAUAAACAACAUUUUGGUCAAUAUUUGUGAGUGCAUGUUCAUGCUAACACAUGUAGUAGAAUUUAGUAUGGGUGGUCGAUUUUUAAUCGACAUCACAGUAGACUUCAUCCUGAGUUCCACAUUUUAUUUAAGUUUGUUAACAUUUGUUUACAUUCUAUUUCAAAACCACUUUUAUUUUUUCAACCAAAAAAAAAAAAAAAAGAAAAACGGAAUUCCUAAAGAUAAGCUGACAACAAAGAAGAAAUAAAUAGAGAAGUGAUUAAUAAUGAUGAUGAAUAGGAGACAUAGCACAUGUUUUGAAUAGUGCUUAUUUUUUCUUUUUUUGUAAACAUCACUUUUGGUUGAUGUCCCAUGCUAACACAUGUAGUCGAAUUUAAUUUAGUAUGGUGGGUCAAUUUUUAACCCCAAAUUGUAGUAGACUUCAUCCUAGUGCAUUAGAGACCUUAAUGUGUGCUCAUAAUUAUAUAUGGGCUCAAAUAAAAAGUAUCAAACUCAUCUAAGUUCCACGUUUUAUUUAAAUUUGAUAACAUUUGUUUACAUUUUAUUUCAAAACUGCUUUUAUUUUUUUUAACAAAAAAAAAAAGAAAGAUGAAAUUCCUAAAGAUAAGCUGAUAACGGAGAAGAAAUAAAUAGAGAAGUGACUAAUAAUGAUGAUAAAUAGGAGAUAUAGCCAUGCUUUCAAUAGUGCUUAUUUUUUCUUUUUUUGUGUACACGCUUGAUGCUCAUUAUGAUGCUAUCAUGGUCAUACAUAAUACAAACUAUUUACUUAUUUAAUGCUUUAAUUGUAUUAAUUUGCAGAUUUAUGAUGAUGAUCAGAUUCGAGAUUGAAAGCUUAAUUGUAAGUCAUUACAAACAAGCCUUAUUAGAAGGCUUUUGUGGAUUUGUAAUUCCAAAUGAUAGGUUCUUUUUUGUGGAUUUGUAGUUAUGAUAUUUGUUAUUUGGAUGUUUAUUAUUUCUAAUUUAGUAUUAAAAUCUGAUAGUGAUUUAACUAUUUUAUAUUAUUAUUUUAUAUUUUAUAUUUUAUAUUUUUUUGCUUAAAUAUCCAUGGAUAUUCAUAUCCAUAUCCAUAUCAAAAUUUAAAAAUUAGAUAUGAAUAUGGACAUAUCCAUCAUAGCUAAUUAUGAAUUUACAUUUGGAUGGAUACUUGCCAUUGAUAGAUUGAAGUAGCUUGAUCAAAUGGCGCUCGACGAACUAGAUAUUGGUAGGAUGGUGUGUGUGUACGCGUGUGCGCAUGUGCGGGUUCGUAUGUUUAUGAGAAUUGACAAGAAUUGACAAUCAAUAAGAAAAUGCUUUAUUAUAUGCUUAACAAAAGUGCUAGGCAUGUUUGAUAUCUCGAAAACAACAUCACCAUCCAUUAAUAACACUUCUCUUACAUUUUUGAACGCCGUCUUUUAAAGGGGGCAAAAUGGGUUGAUGGGUUGAAUUAGUGUCAAAUCCUAAAUAACUUGUCGUUAAGUUUUAGAAUUUAAAUUCAAUCUAUUUAUUAAACGAAUAAUAAUAUAAUUAUUUUUUGAUUUGAUUCCUUUAUCUGUAAGUAACAAAUGAAUCUAAUUGAAUUUUGAUUGGUUUAAUUUGUUCAUCUAUAAUCAUACUUUUAUUUUUGUCUUAUUCAUCAGUUAAUUACAAGGCUAGUGUUACCGCUUAAUGAUUUUUGUAUUAAAUUUAAAAUUAUAAAUUUGACUAAGAAUCUUAAUUAACAAAUAUUACUUUUUGAAUAUGAAUUCCUUAGGAAGCAAAGAAUCAGAAUUUUAUUUUGAAAAUAAAAUGCUAAACUCCGAAAUAAUCCACUCUCCUAUAUCAGUCGUCCUUAGUAUUUCUUAUUUUACCAUUUACUCUCUGAAUAUGAUAUAAUAAUAAAUAAUCACUCACCACCAAUGAUUUGCAGAUGAAGAAGAUAGAUCAAAUGGAACACAUGAAAUACAUUUGGUGCAAAAAUGUGGGCUCUAAUCAGGAAAAUGAUGAACCAAAAUACCAACACGAAGAAAAGUUUUUAUUGUUCGUAAACAUGCAACAUCAAUGCAACUUUUAUUAUUACGACUUUAUUCAUUUAUUAAAGCAUGCGUAUAACUUUAAAACGAAACAAACUUUAAUUCAAUUUAUUUUAUUUAUUUUAAUUUCAAUUUAUAAGAUUUACUUAAUUUAUAAUAAAUUUAAAAAAAGUGUAUUCGAAAAUAAAAUAAAAUAAAAUAAUAUUACUAAAUAAUGGUGUGUAGUGGUUAUUACUUAUUAUAAAAAUAAUAUGGAAAUAAACAAUAUAUAUGUUUAUUUUAGUAAGAAGAAAACUAAUAAUCUCUUUUUUUUAAAAAAAAUUUAUCUGUAUAUCAUCUAUGUAUGGUUUAUCCAUUACAGUCCCAUGGUUGGCUUCUUUAAUUCUACAUAUUUUAUGCUAUAAUCGAGUCAAGUUCAUAGAUUCUUAUGGCUCCCCUCAAAUCAAAAUCCUGUAUUACAAGAAAUUAAUGCCUAAUUUUUUCUUACUGGAAUUGAACUAUCACAAUGAUUUAAUCUCCUUCGUAAUUUAAAAUGAAAAUGUUGACACCAAUCAGGAAAAUGAUGAACCAAAAUAGCCACGUGAAGAAAAAAAGUAUUUAUUAUUCAUAGACAUGCAACAUUGAUGCAACUUUUAUUAUUACAACUUAAUUUAUUCAUUUAUUAAAGCAUGCGUACAGCCUUAAAAGAAAACAAACUUUAUUUUUAACUGCAAGCAUUUGCGGAGCUCUCAGCAGCUCGAUCUUCAAACCUUUUUAAACACAACUUUGAACGGAAUAUCACUCAAAGCCAGACGCCGCACCCCACCAUUAAUAAAAAUGCCAACAUCUCUGCACAAACCUCUGCAGAAAUUACAAACCGAAGGACAGUAGACAAGCUUGUAAUCACCAAAAAACUUCUCAAUCUUAAACCAAUUUCUCAUGGUUCUGGGGCCGGGAUUGCCUUCAACUCCCCCAGUUGUCACAAGCCACUGCCCAAAUGCCGCAUCAAAAUUGUCAAGCUUCCACACUGUGGACUGCGCACAACUUGUUGCAGCGUCAAAUUUGAUGUUUAAGUCAGUGGACUCACGAACAACNNNNNNNNNNNNNNNNNNNNNNNNNNNNNNNNNNNNNNNNNNNNNNNNNNNNNNNNNNNNNNNNNNNNNNNNNNNNNNNNNNNNNNNNNNNNNNNNNNNNUUAUUGUUGCUUCUGCCAGCAAGUGUAAGCCCGCCGCCUCUGCCCUUUGUAACGGGCAAGAUGUAGUACUUACUGCCAGCUCGGAGCUGCUUACUAGAGAUGUCCAGCACCGGAUCAGGUUGAGCAUUGCCCUUGACAGGCAAUGGCGUUGCAGUGAAGGCAAGGAGAAGGAUCAGCGAGGGUUAGACUAACGUGCUUCUCAUUGUUAUAUCGUUAUAUUUUUUGUUCUUAUCUUUUGUUGUUGCAUGUAAAUAUCCCUUAUGAGACCAAAUUUAUAGAAUUAGGCUAGCUAAUUGACGGACAGCAUGUUGGUUGGAUUUGACUGUCCGAUUUGAGAAGCCGAUGGCCGCCCAGAAGACAUGAGCGGAUUAUCAGAUUUUGCUUUGUGUGCUGUAACCCACCCACCCCCCCCAAAACAAAACAGCCUGAUUAGAAGAUUUAAUACAAAUUCCAAGCUAUGGAAAGCGUAAUUUAAUUAGAAAGUCAAAGAUUUAGUUUAGAGUUAGAAGUCAAUACGCUUAUCUUUUCUCUUAGACUAAAUUUAACGGAAUUUAGAUCUGAUUCCUGUGUCUUUGUUGAUGGUUUUGUCAUUUUGUUUUGCAUGGUAUAUAUGUUUAUUCUUAGAAGAACAAGUUUUUUAGCUGAAGUUGGCCUGGUCAAGCGACGAGUUUAUUGAAAAAUUAAAGUAGCAAAGAAAUGAUAAAGCAUAUGUAUAGGGAGGCACAACAUGAGCCCUGUCUUUUAAUUCAAAAAUCGCACCAAGAAUUUGAAAACAAAAAAUGAUGUAAAAAGACAUACAAGAGAUGAUCAAAACAUGUUACUAGCAGAUCUAUUGGCUAUGUUGAUAUAGAGAUGUCUUUUAGUAUUAUAUUAUGUGAAAUUAAUAGCCGUACACCUUAAGUUUACUUUGUUAUAAAAAAUAUUACAAAGUUUUCAAUUUGUUUUAACUUUUCAUCCUAAAUUUUCAAAAUCAAAUAAUAGUUUAAAUCUAAAAAAAAUUUGUGAUAACCAAUAUUCAAUUAAAUACACUUAAAACUCUAAUAUUUUCCUUAAAUUCGUGGACACCCAAUCUAUUUAGCCAAUUCAUUUUCUUAAGUAAAAAAGCUAAAUUAAUUUUUAUUAUUUAUGGUGCAAAGUCAAAAAUUCCAUUGAAUUCGAAGGAGAAUUGGCAUUUUACUUAAAUUUUGUUAAGUAUUCUAGCGGUGUGAACGUUUUGCUGAAUGAUUGAUAUAAAUUACAAACUUAGGGUGGAAAAUCAAAUAAAUUCAAACUUUUCUUAUAUUUUUCAUAACAUGUAAAGUUAGGGCAUGCGGCUUAUAAUUUUUCUAAAUUUUAAGUGCUUAAAACUAUAUUAUAUAUCCUUAACAAGGUUCCAACUAAAGUGACUAUCAAGUCCCCUUACGAGCUUUAGACGAGCAAAAAUCCUAGUCUAAAACACUUGCAUGUUUGGGAUGUCUAAUUGAGGCAAGGCCUUAUAGGCCUAACGUGAAACAGUGAGUUGUUAUUUUUAUGACUCCAUGACUAAGUUGAUUUUCGAGUUGGAAAAUGCUUAGUUCUUUAAGGAUGUCGAGUUUGCGGGUGUGAUACAGCUAGGGACUUUGUCUUUGAAUAGGGAUAUGUUGAUAUUCCUAUAGAUGUUAUUGGCAUUUAUCAGGGUCUCAUUCCCCUAUACAAGAAGUUGCUCCAGAAGAAUAAACUUUACCAUCUUAAGAACCUACUCUAUUAAGGAGGUUCGCUAGAGAAAGGAGAAGUGCAAUGCCAAACGACUACAUUGUUUUUUUCCAAGAGCAUGAGGUAAACAUUAGAGUGACAGAAGAUAAUCUAAUCAAUUAAUGUCAAGCCAUAGAAAGUUCUAACUCUCAAACGUGGAUUGAUGGCGUGAAUGAGGAGAUGAAGUCUAUGAAGGACAAUGACGUGUGGGAUCUUAUCCCAUUACCAGAAGGUGUGAAACUUAUUGGUUGCAAAUACAUAUUUAAGACCAAGAGAGAUUCGAAAGGCAAUGUAGAGUAGUACCAUGCGUGUCUUGUCGGAAAGGGCUUUAUACAUAACGAAGGUAGCGACUAUAAAGAAACUCUCUUCGAUUUCUUUGAAAGACUCUUUCAGGAUUCAAUCUUAUACAUCAAAUGGAUGUGAAGAUAGUUUUUCUCCAUGAUGACAUUUAUGAGAAUAUCUAUAUCGUGUAAGCAGAAAGUUUGCGUCAAGAAACCCAAAGAAUAUGAUUUGUAAGCUCAAGAAAUCCAUUUAUAAACUCAAGCAAGCAUCUCGACAAUGAUAUUUCAAGUUUCAUCAAGUGAUUAUCUCAUUCAAUUUUGAGAUGAAUUUGGUCAAUGAUUUCAUAAACCAUAAGUUCUAUGUGAGCAAGUAUAUUUUUCUACUUUUAUACAUCGAUGACAUUUUGCGUGCUAGUAAUAAUAUAGGCUUAUCACAUGACAUUAAGAGAUUUCUAGCUAAAAUUUUAAGAUGAAAGAUCUUGGUGAGCCUCUUUUGUAUUAGGCAUAUAGAUGUACCUGAAUUGCUCCUAAGGUAUUCUUAGAUUAUCACAAAAACGUUAUAUCAAAAUGAUUCUCAAGAGAAAACAAAAGGCCACAUGCUCAAAUAUUAGAGGCUAGAUUUGAUUGAGAUCGUCGGGGUAUAUUGACUCCAAUUUUGCUGGAUGCCAAGAUAGUAUGAAGUCCACAUCAGACUACAUCUAUCUUCUAGUUGGGGUUGUUCUCUCUUGGAAUAAUGCUAAACAAUCUUUUACAACCUCUUCUAUAAUGGCAACAAAGUUCAUAGCAUGUUAUGAAGUAUCCAAUCAUAGAAUAUAGCUGCAAAAUUUUGUUAUGGGACUAUGAAUAGUAGAUGGUAUAGAUAGAUCACUUAAGUUAUCUUGUGGCAAUAAGUCAAUAAUGCCUUAUUCCAAUAACAACAAGAGCUUGAUGAAGUCAAAGUAUAUAGACAUCAAAUUCCUAAUUGUUAAAGAAAGAAUUUAGAAUGGACAGUUGUGUGUAAAGCAUGUGAGCAUAAACUCUAUGAUUGCGGAUCCACUUACUAAGGUAUUGCCACCCAAUAUGCUUCAUGAGCACACUACUUGUAUGGGUGUCAUGUUAUUAGAAGAUAUUUAGUUUAGUUGGAGAUUGUGAUUUUAGAUUCUCAUAUAAUAUAGACAUUUUUCAGUUAUUUCAGUUUAUCGAUAUUUCAGGUUAUUUUCUGCAGAAAUAAAGUUUUAAUUUAUUCACACUCUAAUUUUAAUAUGCUUUGAUCUCAUUGAGGUUUAAGGUAAACCAGUUGGAAAUAAGCAUCUUAAGAUCACAUUGCAUGAAAUUUCUAUGCUGCACAUCAACAUUAUAAUCCAUGUCUUCACAUCAACAUUAAAAUCCAUGUCUUUUAGUUCUAGGCAUAGUGACCAUGCCUGGAUCGAGUUAUAGGAGUUUUAACAAAGGCCGCCUUUGAUCCUAUGUUGGUAUAAUUGAUAGACUUGAUUGGUUAUAGAAACAUUUCGAUAAUAAUAGUAACGUUGAGCUCAUACAAUUAUUUUUACAAAGCCUAAUUAUACGGUUACAUAAAUAGCCCAAAUGGGAGAUUGUUGAAUUUUUUAAUCUAGCAUUGUUAGAUCCUUAAUCUAAUGUUGGGCUUAUAUAUGAAUAGUUAUGUGUUGCGAACUGUCGUAUAUGGUUAAACUCAAUUAAAAGUGAUCUAUUAAGGUCUACAAUAAUAUAGGCUUUCAUGUAUUUAAUAAGGUGUGGACUUUUAAUGUGUAGAGACUUAAGAGUAAUUUCUAUUUCUAUGACUGGUUGAAAUAAGAAUACCUGAAACAAAUAGAAAAAUUAUCUAUAUAAGUAGUCAUGAUCCUCAGGUCACAUGUAUCAUUUUAUUCUUUCUGACAUCCCAUCUAAGGGUUUGAGAUGCCUCUUCCUGCUUCAACUCUUGUGAGUUCUCUUUAAUUUUCUCUCUUUUUCUAUUUAUUUUAUUUUUUAAUUUUAUUCCUAUUUUAUUUUUCUAGUUAUGUUUAUCAAUUAGUUGAAAAAUUAUAGUAAUCGAUUUUAGAGAGGAUGCAAUCGAUUCUCUAGUGGGUCCUGAUAACUUUUCCAAAUAAGUCUUACUUCUUAAUGCCAUUAAACCGUUGAGAGAGAAAGUGAAUAAGUUGAUAAGUUUUCUAUAAAUUGCUAUUUUUUAAUUUUGAAUGUUCACUUCGUUAAAAAAAAUAAUUUUUUAAUAUUUAAAUGGCCACUUUUUAUUUUUCUUUAAUUAAGGAGUUCCUCGAAGAACCAUAAAUUAAGAAUAGUGACAAUUGUAUCUAGUAUUGGUUGAAUCUAUUUUUCUUCAUUAAUGUGAUAAUAUUAUAUCACCUAAUAAAUGUUGACAUGUCAUAUGUUUCAUUACUUUUGGAUUUAAACAGUGUAUCCCAGUAACGGGUAUAUGUAGCAUGACUUCGCUUUAUACUGAAAUUAAAAUUCAAGAUUGAUUUACGAUGUCAUAAUUGAAUUUAAAACAUUGUAAAAAUAUGUUUAUGACAUCAUAAGCUCGUCCAAGACUUUAAUCCCAAAUUAAAAAAAUUAUGUAUGUAGCAUAACUCUUAUUUAUUUGUAACUAUGAUGUAGAUCUCGGGGAUAUUGGUAAAUUUUUUUUCUAAAAUAUGCUACUUAGAUUCUUAAUUUUAAUUUAAUAGAUAGGAAUAGAUAGAGUAUAAAUUAAAUGAGAGGUAAGCUAUUCAAGUAGGCAUUUAUUUGGAUCGAUUGCAUGCAAAAUAAAAAUAAUGAUGGUCUGCUUGUAAUAUUCCCAUUAUUUAAUUUUACUAAUUUAUAAAAUUAUCGUAGUAAGUUGUGGAUAUCUGAAUUUUAUAAAUUUCACACUCACUCUUUUAUAGUACCGUAAGGUGUAAAGUAGCAAUACAGUAUAAAAAAGGCCCUUGAUACACCAAGGCUCGUAGCCUAUUGACAACCCAUGUGCCCAAUUGGAUUCAAGUUCCAAUAAUAGCUAGGAUUUGAUUUCGCUCAUAGAAGGGUAUGAUGAUGUAGCAUUGAUCGAUGACAUGGCAACAUCGUAUUAGAGCAAUGAUGUGGCAUUGACCGAUGAUAUGACGUUGACCGAUUAUGUGGCGUUGACCGAUGAUGUGGUAGGAUGCUAUUGCACCAAAAUAUUGAUGUGGCAUUGACCUAUGAUGUAGCAGCAUAUUAUUGGACCGAAAUGUUGAUCUGGUGUUGACUGAUAAUGUGUUCCAACCAAUUAAAGCUUGUCACGUUGCCCAAUCCUAAGCGUCUGAAUUAUUUUCAUCUGAUAACCAUGAUUUACCUAUUGUAUCUAUAAAUAAAGGGCUCUCCCCUAAUUUGAUGCCCUUGAAUUUAUUUUUUAGCUCUAUUUUAUAUAAUUCUCUCUCUAUCUUGCAUUCUCUAUGUAUUUUAAUAAAAUUAUCAUUUUACCCCUAAUUCAAUUGUGAGUGGCUAAUUUAGUUUUAAGCUUGGAUUGAAGGUGAAGCCUCAACAUGAUCCAUGGGCUUAAUUAGGUGAGUUUAUUUUAUUUUCUUCUCUGAUUUAUGUAGUUGUUUUGACUCAUUGUUGACAGACAACAUAUCCUGUCUAGAUUUUUCAAGGUAUAUCGGCUCCCUAACGACGAACCAUUACUGUCUAGCACAAUGAGCACUUAGCACCAUAUUAAUUAGCAAAAAAUUCCCCUCUAGUAUUUUGUAGGUCGUCUUGACUGAGUGUCUACAGAGAGUGUAUCUAAGCUACUUAGUGGAUGGUUUUGCCACGUUGUCGACAAAAAGAUUAUUAUUGUCUGGCACAGCGUGUUCUUUACACCACACUUAGUAGAAGAUCAUUACCUUUGGCACAUUGAGCACUUGAUACCAUAUUUAUUAGAGUGGGAAUUAUGAGGAAUGAAAAUAUCCACCUCAUAAAUUAAUUAGAACUAAAAAGCAAAUAUUAAGCACAUGGUGAAUGUUGAGUGUGAAUCUAAAGACUCGAGCAUUUCAUUUGCAUUGAUUUCAUCCUUAAUACAUUUCUGCCUUUUAAUUUUAAAUGUUAAAAUAAAAAAGAAUUCACUUUCAACCAACUCACAUUUACACCCAGAAAAUUAACCCUACACACAAUUAAAUCUACUACCUCAUGAGAUCAACACUUGUCACCACAAAAUCUAUUGUACAAUAGAUUCGUGCGCUUGCGAGUACAAUAAAAUUUGCAUAACAUCUCUGCUGUAAUAAUACAAUUCUUAGACUGUAGUGGAGACUACUUGAAUAGAUGAACCAACUGAAGAAAGUGCAGUAGCAGAGGAAUGGGGUGAGGAAUAAGAAGAAGAGCAGCACCUAGAGAAGGACAAAGUUGAAGUUAAAGAAGAAGAAGAAGAAGAAGAAUAAGAGAGUGAAGGGGAUGAAAAUGCAGAAGAGACAAAGGAUGAAAAGGAAGGGGAUAAAAGCAAAAGAAAGUAGAAAAUGCUGCCUGAUAAAGAUUCAGAUGAAAAAGAACAAGAUGAAUAUGAUAUGUCCAUUGAAGAGGUCAUCAACAGGGCUGCAAGAACAGAAGAAGAAAAGAAGAGCUUGAAGGAGCUCAUUACUAGCACAACUAUUAAGCAAUUAGCAGAAUCUCCUCGACUAUCUAUGACAAAUAAGACCCCAAGAAGUCUCCUGCCACAACUCCCAGAGUCUCCAGCAAGAGAAUAUGGGGCACAAAUCUCUGGAGGUGCUGCACCAUAUUUUUGUAUGUUUUGCUCUUGAACAACAUGUAGCGGAAAUGUUUUAUUGUCAUUGUUGGAAAUUUGAGGGUGCAGCAGACACACAACUAAAGUGAAAUUUAGAAAUAAUGAUCACACAAGGACACUAGAAUUUACGUAGUUCGAUUUUUAGCUGACAUCCCUGGGUGAAGACAAGAGAAAAUAUUUUACUAGUGGAAAGAAGUUACAAGUAUUGUAGUAUUUUGUCUCACAACCCAAAACUCCAAUACACCCAAACUCUCAAAACACUAGAACUAGAGCUCAAAGCUCUCAACUUACACCUCUUGGUACUCUCACUUGAAUUAGAGAAAAUGGGAUGAAUGAAGAAGGCAAAUGAGUCCUCUAUUUAUAGGCCCAGCCAUGCUAAAAAGUCAACAAUGGUGGCCAUUAAAAUAAUAUAAAUUUCCACCCAACUUUUCUACUUUAGUGCCAAAGUCAAAAGUUGAUCCCUCCCACUUACCUUUGUUUCCUACUUACUCAGCAACUUUAUGCCAAGAGUAAAAAAGUUGCAUGCUAGUUCAUAUGUAAUUGUUUUCUAUAAAGAAUUGUUUGCCACAUGUAUGCACAUGUUCAACAAUUCUUGUAACACUCCAGUCCGAAAUCCAAGGGUAAAUAUGUCCACAACUCACAUAUGAUUUAAAUAACUCUUUACAAACAAUAAAAAUUCGAGCCUCAAAUACAAAAGCCAGCGGAAUAACUUAAAAAUUUAGCCAAACCAUCUACCAUCUUCAACUUGUCACUCAUCACGAAUCAGUCAUGACUUCUGAAAACUGAAUCACAAUAAACUAUAAUGAGUACAAAACCCAGUAAGCAAACUAGUUUUUCUUAUAUGGAAAAUACAUACACAAUUAUACAUAAUGCAAUGGUUGAUAUGCCAUGAUCUUUUGGAAAUACUGUAAAAUAAAUUCAUAAAAAUCUCUUUUUGUCGCUUUCAAACUUUCUCAUUUUCUUUCGAUGAAAUACGUAUUCUGCAAUGUGGCACUUUGGGUUGUGCGUGGCACUUUGGGUUGUGCGUGGCACUUUGCACCAUGCGUGGCACUUUGCGACGCUCUAGCCCUUAAGAGGUGGCCCUCGCAUAGUCCUAAGAGGUGGCCCUCAAUGCAAAAUCUCAUAAAACAGAAAUUCCAUUCGCUAAAAUCCAUUUUCUCAUUCAUAGAAAACUCAAUUCAUUUUUGUGCUCAUGCCAAUGAACCAUCACACAUACAUAUGCCCAUGUACGUAAUCACGCUCAACACAUGCCAACACAUCAGAUAAACACAUGGGCAGAGACAUCUAAAUCGAUAUCCGUAUAUAUAUCAAAAUAGGCUUUUCACACAAGUCAAAUAUAUAUAUUGUUUAGUGUGAUUCGUUUUAAAGUCUAGUUUACUUACCUCUUGGCAUCCUCAUGUAACAAAUGCGUUAUGAUACCAUCAACCUAAAAUCAUCAAUAACGCCUCAUAAGAUAUAAUCAAAUCUCAAUCAUAAACUCUAAUGUCCUCAAAUAUCUCAAUUUAAACAACUCCUAAGCUCAACCUCAAUUGUCCUUAAUAAUCGGCCCUCAAAACAUAACAGUCCAUACUUCUUCGAUUUUUAUUAAAUUAUUCUCUUAUUGGAAGAAUCUCAAAUUUUACAGACCAUAUGCUGACACAUUGAAAUUUCAUUGAUAAAAAUUUCAUACCAUAAUUCCUUCCAAAACGAUUGAAAAUAAUUCACGUUUCAGACAUCAUCAAUACUGUCAAACAGUUUUCUAGUUUGAACACACUUGAUUUAAAAAUACAAAACAAUUUAUUUCUUUAUCAUAAAAUCAUGAAAAUUUUCAGAAUCAUACUAGACAUAUAUAAAAAUCAUUGGUCCAAAUUUCAUAAUUUUUGAAGAAGUCUAGAUAUGGUAGAAAUAAUUUCAUAAUUCACUGAAAUCAUAAAUUUUCAGGUUUUCAGACUUGACUUUGAAAAAUCACAAUUGAUUGAAAUCUUAUCCGAUUAACUUGAAACAAGUUUCAAAACAUAUUAGACGAUGUCUAGUUUCAUAAUUUUCAUAAAAUCAUGAAAAUUUUCAGAAUCAUACUAGACAUAUAUAAAAAUCAUUGGUCCAAAUUUCAUAAUUUUUGAAGAAGUCUAGAUAUGGUAGAAAUAAUUUCGUAAUUCACUGAAAUCAUAAAUUUUCAAGUUUUCAGACUUGACUUUGAAAAAUCACAAUUAAUUGAAAUCUUAUCCGAUUAACUUGAAACAAGUUUCAAAACAUAUUAGAUGAUGUCUAGUUUAACAUGCCCAAAAAUCAGAAUCAAAAUCAAGUUGUACAAAUUACUAUGAUUUCCGUAAUAAUUCACUGUCAGCAUAUUUCUACAAAAUCUUAGAUUUCUACUUCUAUUGCAAUUGUGCUUCUACACAACAAUUUAAUAGAAACCAAUAAUAAAAACUUACCUCCAAAACUUCUCCCAACAAUAACAACUUGAUCCCAUGUGUUGCUUGUGGCAGAACUAAGAAGAAGAAAAAUACUUUCUUCUUCUCUUUUUCUCUUCUUUUCUCUCUUGUCUCUCCAUCUCUCUCUUAUAAUGAAAAAAGACAUCUUGUUCUAUUUAUACUAGGUUAAAAAGGAUUACUAAAAAUUAAAAAGACUUGAAUACCCUUAGGAGAUUUGGGAUAUUACAAUUCUCCCAUUUGGAGACUUGAUUGAGAACCAAUCACGUCUCCACACCAUCAUUUCUUCUUCACCAUUAUUCUAUUGCUUCCGUCCUUUACUACUUCUCGAACGAAGUGGUAUUGUCCCUAUGUGCUUUGUCUUGGGAUGAAAGGCUGGAUUCCUUACAAUGUGUAAAACACUCUGACUGUCACAAAAUACAUGAAUUUUUCCUUGUUUGUGUCCGAGCUCCUCCAAUAACCUCUGUAUCCAAAUAGCUUUCUUGCAAUCUUGUGUAGCUGCCAUAAAUUCUACUUAUGUUGUAGAUAAAGCCACAACAGUCUGCAGUUUUGAAAUCCAGUUUACAGCUCCUCCUGUAAGUGUAAACACAUAACCAGUAGUAGAUUUCUUUUUAUUAAGGUCUCCUACAAAAUCUGAAUCCACGUAGCCCCUGACAGUAAACUUUUAUCCUCCAUAACAUAAUGCAACAUCUGAGGAUCCUCUGAUGUAUCUCAGAAUCUUCUUCACAGUUUUUUAAUGCUCUUCACUAGGAUUCACCAUAUACCUAUUGACCACUGUCUCUGCUUGUGCAAUGUCUGUUCUAGUGCAUAUCAUAGCGAACGUCAAAUUUCCCACUGCUGAUGCAUACGGUACUCAAGACAUCUCAUUCCUCUUUGCUUCAUUGUUAGGACACAUACUUGAGGAUAACUUGAAAUUAAUAGGAAGUGGGGUAGAAAUUCGUUUACAAUCUUACAUGCUGAAGCGCUGUAAGAUUUUAUUCAAGUAAUUCUUCUAAGAAAGCCAAAUCUUUCUGUUUUUUCCUUCUCAGUGAAUUUGUAUCCCUAGAAUCUUGUUUAGUGGUCCCAAGUCCUUCAUUUCAAACUCUCUACCAAAUUGGACCUUUAAUUCUUAGACUCGGUCUUUGUUGGGGCUUGCUAUCAACAUAUCAUUUACAUACAACAACAAAAUGAUAAAAUCAUUAUCCUCAAACCUCUUGUCAUAAGUCAAACUAUCGGAGAAAAUAUCUCAUUGAAGUUAAUGCAGUCUUUCUAAGCAUAUCCUUUUACCAUCAAUCUUGUGCGAUACCUCUUUACUUGAUCAUUGCCAUCACGUUUGAUCUUGUAGACCCAUUUGUUACUAAUGGCUUUUCUACCAUAUGGUAGUGGUAUAAGUUCUCAUAUCAUAUUCUAUUACAGAGAUUCAAUUUCUUCCUGCAUUGUUGUCAUCCACAAAGUAACUUUUGAGCUGUUUAAAGUUUUAUGGAAAAUUAAUGGCUCUCUAUCCUUUACUAGAAGAUAAUAUGCAACAUUGAUCUCUAUAACAUACUUCGUGUGUCACACCAACGGUCGUCUCUCUCAAGUUGACUGACGAACUUCUAUAGCUUUGAACUCGACUAGUUUUUAUUCCUCGUGCUCUAGUGCUGCUUCACAAGAAUCUAAAUCUUUUUUUUUGGAUUAUUUCCAUAUAUACUGGUAUAGUCUCUGGCUUUUCUUUCACAAUGCUAUCAUCCCCAUCUUUCUUUUGUAGUUGAUCUUCUACAAAGAUAACAUCCCUACUGAUGACAAUCUUAUAGGAAGUGGAAUCUCAUAGCAGAUACCCCUUCACUCCAUCAACAUACCCUAAGAAGAUAUAUCUCCUGGAUUUUAGAUCCAGUUUUAUUCUUUCUUGGUCAUUGUACAACACGUACACAAGACAUCUAAAUGUGUACAAUCAAAAGUAAUUAGUUGGCUUCCCAAUCUACAUCUCCAUUGGUGUCUUUAACCCAAUUGCUGUAGAUAGCUGAUUCACCACAUAACAGGUAGUUCUAGCUGUUUCUGCCCAAAAUGAGUUUGGUAGACCAAUAGUCCUCAAUAUGGCUCUUAUCUUUUCUGUAAGAGUUUUGUUCAUUCGCUCUACUACUCCAUUCUGUUGAGGAGUGUUUGCCACUAUGAACUGUCUCUGAAUACAUUCUUGCUUACUAUUGCAAGAAACUCGCCGUUUGUAUACUCUCCACCAUUAUAUGUCCUCAAACACUUGAUAAUUUUCUCGGAUUUAAGUUCUACUCGUGCUUUGUACUACUUAAAUAUUGGAAAUGCAUUUGAAUUUUUCUUGAUUAGAUACACCCAACAUCUCUUGAAAUAAUCAUCAAUGAAAGUUACCAUGUACUUUGCAUCUUAAGGACUUAUUUAGCGAUUCCCAAACAUUAGAAUGAACCAAGUCUAUAAUGCAUUUAUUUCUGGCGUCAGAUCUGCUGAUCUUUAAUAUAUGAGACUUACUUGUAACAUAGUGCUCGCAAAAUGAUAAGUUCACUAAUUUGGGCCCCGAAAGCAACUUCCGUUUAGAGAGAAUCUUCAAAUCUUGUUUGACAUAUGGCCAAGUUUGAGAUGUCACAUCAUCAUCGAUUCUUUUCCAUUUGACACGAUACACACAUCAGCUUCCUUUAAUGUUUUAUCUUUAAGCAUGAAUAGAUUGACACUGAUCUUUUUCACUUUCAUCAAUAUAAGCACACCUUUGACAAUCUUAAUGAUCCCAUUUUCCACAUAAGUCUUUCAGCCAAGGCUAUCUAUUUGUCCUAUAAAUAAUAGAUUUUUCUUCAAGCCUUUAACAUGUCGUACCUCCUGAAAAAUGUGAACUAUACUAUCAAACAUUUUUAUUUUAACAGUACCAAUACCAGCGAUUUCCAAGGCAUUAUCAUCACCCAUAUAUACAAAUCAUCCUAAGAUAUAUUCAUAUUUGUGGAGUCAUUCUCUCCGAGAGAUCAUGUGCCAGGUAACUCCUGAGUCAAUAAACCAAACAUCAGAUAGCUGUUUUAUGCCUUUUGCAACCAUUGCUGCCUCACUGUAUAAAACGUCACCAUCAUCUUAGGUACUUGUUGUACACCCCUCAGUAUUUGAUGACUCAGGAUCUUUACACUCUCCUCUUUUCUGGUUACUCCAACACUCUUUCUUGACAUGCCCUAUUUUGCCACAUUUGUAGCAUCUGGACUUCUUUUUACUUAUUGACUUUUAUCUACCAUGAUUGUGACUCCCACUGGGACCACAUUUUGCUAAUCUCCCUCUCAUUAUUGUUAGCGCUUCCAAUUGCUACGAACUUGUUUGCUUGUUUUCCUUAUUCUUGUGCCUACUCUUUUCUUCUAAUACAGAGGCUACAACAUCAUCGAAGACUAGGUACUCCGUGAAGAUAUUGUUUAUCAUGUUGGUGAUGAGUUGAUCAUACGAGUCAGGUCGACUUUGAAGUAGAAGCUUUGCACGUUCAGUUUCCUCUAUUUUAUUCCUCAACAUCAUAAGUUUUGAAAAUAGAGUUUUCAAAGUUUUGAUAUGGUCAAUUAUCGUUGUAGUUUCUGCUAUUCGAAGAGUAAAGAGUCUUAUCUUUAAAAAGAUCUUAUUAUGUAGCGACUUGGUCGCGUACAGUUUUGUGAGAGUAUCUCAAAUACCCUUUAUUGUCUUUUUUUUCCACCACGCUAGAUAGUACCCUAUGUACAGGUGUCAGGUGUAGAUUAACAAUUGCAUUACUAUCUAUCUCAUUCCACUUAUGAUCAGUGAUUUUUGCAGGCCUUUCUCCAAUUGCUUCUAAGCAAUUAUUUUUCCUAAAGAUUGCCUGCAUCUUCAUUUCCACAACAAGAAAUUGAUCUCAUUGAACUUUUCAAUCUCAAACUUUGUUGUCAUUCUGUUAAUACCGUACACAAGUUAUUGUACCUCCUUAAAUAGUUAUGAGUGAUCUUGUUUACUUCUAAGGCAUGUUUAUGUUUUGAUGGUGAUAAACCUGUGUUACACAUGUACAUAAAUUUGGCAAGAGUUGUUGAUUCCAGAAAAUUCUUAUCAAAAUAUUUGAUGAAGUAAAGUACAUUGCAAUCACUAAAGGUUGCAAAGAAACUUUAUGGAUGAAGAAUUUCUUGCAAGAGUUGGGUGUGAAACAAGACAGCUAUAUUGUGUACUAGAACAGUCAUAAUGUCAUUGACUUGGAAAAGAAAUGGACAUAUCAUUCGAAAUCAAAGUAUAUUGAUGUGAGGUAUCAUUGGAUACAAGACGUGCUUGAGAAGAAAUAGAUGUAGCUUGACAAGAUUCACACAAUAGAGAAUGGAUCAGAUAUGAUGACAAAGUAAUUGCCCAAGGAGAAGCUGGAAUGUUGUAUGUAGAAAGUGGGCUUGGUGGUGCCCUCUAUAUGAUAUGAAAGGGAGAUUUGUUGGGUCCAUCUCAUUUGAGUGGUCCACGCCUAAAGGUUUAUAAGUUUGGUUAGCUAAGUAAUUAAAAGAAACUUGAAGGGGGCAAAAUAAAGUUUACAUUAAAAAAUUAGGGUUUGAAAGCGUGGUUAUAGAAGUAGGAAUAAGUGGAGGCGGCAACAACUUUUGUGUGUGGGAAAAAGACGAGAGAGAAAUAGAUAAAUAUAUAUAAAUAUAUUAACGAAAAUGUUCUUAUACAUAUUGAAUAAAUUGCUAACUAAAAUACUUUAAAUACCUGGGAUAUGGAAUUGAGUAUUGGAUAUGGUUUGGGAUUAAUUAGUCCUAAAUUUAGUUCUAAAUGUACAACCGAGAAAAGAUUCAGUCCAUAUUGAUGGAAACAAAAAAAUUAAUUAAAUAAUUAUUGUCUCUAUCUUAAUUAUUGAUUUAGAAAGAUCAAUUGUCAAAUAAAUUAAGAUUGAUUGACUCAAUCUUUGCUACUCAAUCAUUGUUUCAAGCAUUUAUUCAACAACUCCAUCUUCAACCCUUUAGAAAAGUAACAUUGAAUGUAACAUCACUCAGAGCCAGAUGCCACACCCCACCAUUCAUAAAAAUGGCAACAUCUAUACACAAAACUUUGCAAAACUUACAAACCGAAGGACAUUAAACAAGCUUGUAAUCACCAUAAAACUUCUCAAUCCUGAACCAAUUUCUCGUAGUUUGUGGGCCAAGAUUGCCUUUAAUUCCCCUAGUUGUCACAAACCACUGCCCCAAUAUUGCAUCAAAAUUGUGAAGCUUCCACACUGUGGAUUACACACUAGUUUUUGCAACUUCAAAUUUGAUGUUUAAAUCAGUGGACUCAUGACCAACGCCCUUUUUAGAGUUUACGAGCGAACAACAUGUAGCGGAAAUGUUUUAUUGUUACCUCUGCUACCAAGUGUAAGACCAUCGCCUCAGCCACAUAUAACUGCUAAGAUGUAGUACACAUUGCCAGCUCGGAGUUGCUUUCCGAUGAUGUCGAGAACCGGAUCAGGUGAAGCAUUGCCUAGGACAAGCAAUGGCUUUUCAAUGAAGGCAAAUAAAAAGAAGGAGAGUGGUAAAAAUAAUAAAGUUCUCAUUGAUAUGUUUUUGUUUUCCUUGGUUCUUAUUUUGAACUGCCAUGUGCCAACCCUCAACAGCUCAUUUUUUCUAUAAAGCUACCUUAGUUAGUCAAUGCAUGGAUACCAAGUAGAGUUGUUAAGGACAAUUAAUUAAGUUGCUGGGUUUCAACUUGACCACUAUGAUGUUCAAUUCAACAAGCAGGUGUCGCCUAUAUAAGUGCGGAUUAUCAUAUUUUGUGCUUUUAGUAUUAUAGUUGUCAUUAUUAUUAUUAUGAUUCUAAAGGUGGCAUAGCCUGGAAGAUUUAAUAUAAUUUAAUAAAAAUUUCAAACUACAAAGCAUAAUUUAUUAUGUGUUAAGUAAGGGGCUCACAAAAAUAGUUGCAAAUUAAAUGGAAACAAAACGUUUUUCCUCUUUGUGUGAUUAAAAUAAGAUGUGUACCAUAAAUAAAUAGACAGAAAAAUAAACCAAUAAAUCCAAUGCAAUAAAAUCAACCACAAGAGACACAGAUUUUACUUGGAAAACCCAAAGCGGGAAAAAUCAAGGGACCGUAGUCCGAUAUAAUCUUCCACUAUUUUAGUAGGAUUAUACCACAAAUUAUUCUUUAGAUGAUACUGGAGACAAACAAUAUUAAUAAUCUCAAUAUUCUUGGCUCAUAGUAACAGCCUAAUAAUUGUCUCUCUAACAAGUGAGUUAUUCAAAUAAUAGCCAAUGAGAGGAUAUAAUAAAAAUUAACACCAUUAGGAUUUUAGAGGGCGAUGCCAAGAACUUACCCUCAAAAUUAGGGGUGGGCAAAAUCGGAUUCGGGUCAACCCGAUCGGAUUUCGGGUUAUUCGGGUUGCGCAAACAUUGAUCCGAAUACAACCCGAACUUAUAACUUGACCCAAUCCGAUCCGAUAUAUAUUCGGAUCGGAUUAGAUCGGGUCAAAAAUCGGGUUGAAUUCAGGUUGAAUCAGUUUGGAUUAAAAAUGGAUCAUAUUGAAUUCGGGUCAAAUUAAGCCAAUUUGGGUUGAUGAAAAUGGGUCAAUUCAAAACAUAUAUACCAAUACACCAUGAAAGCUUCAAAAUUCAAAACACAUAAGGGAGAAACUUGGGUCGGGUUGAAGCUUGAGCCUUGGAGUAGUAGAUCGGCGGCCACAGCAGCAGAUCACGGCUGGGUUUUCAGCAGCAGAUCGGUGGGCGUGCAGCAGUAGCUUGCGCACGGCUGGAUGCGCAGUAGUUUCCUAGCGAUGGUUGGACGCAGCACGGCGGCAGCAGAUCGCGGACGUAGCAGUAGAUGGCUGGACACAACACGACAGCAGCAUGACAGCAGCACGGUAACAGCAGCAGAUGGCCGGACUCGCAACACGGUAGCAACAGAUCGCAGAAAGGAGAGAAUAUUUUCUUGCUUCUUGAGGGUGGGUUGGGUGUUGUGAUUUUUUUUUUUUUUUUACCUAAAGAGGAAGAGAAGGUGCUCUUUGUGUAACCUUUUGAGUAUGUGAUUUGUGUGUGAUUAUGUACGGUUUGCGUGUGUUUGGCCAUAGAUUUUAUUUAUAUUUUUUAAAGCAACAUGAUCGGGUUUUCGGAUUGGAUCGGUUUUUAUCCGAUCCGAUCACAACCCAAUCAGGUUUGUAAGAUUUCAUCCGAUCGGGUUGUAUGAACAACCCGAUCCGAUCCAAACCUGAAAUUUUUCGGGUCGGAUCGGGUUGGGUAUUUUGCCCACCCCUACUCAAAAUUUGGGAGAAAACGGAGUUAAUUUAACCUUCUAAUUGCCUAAUUAAAGAUUGAAAAUCCUGCCCCCAAAUUAUAAUAACCAGCCACUGUCUUUUCUCUCUCUCUCUCUCUCUCGUCUUUUUCUUCUCUGCUCGUCCUUUUUACGAUCAUGAAACUAGACCCGUCGCUUGCUUUUUAAAGCCACUUUUCAUGGCAAUUUUCAUCCAACUCCAAAGCUUAAUAUCAAGCAAACCCUUUUGGGCUUUGGACUUUUUGCCCCCAAAUGAAAUGGACUCAACACUAUGAAAGUCAAAUUUUCGAGUUUAUGUUAGAAGUCAAAUACCAUUGUCUCUUCUCCUACUCUAAGUUUAUUUUUUUCAAAUCCAAUUUUUGUGUUUUGGUCAAAAGUAUUGCCAUUUUGUGUUGCAUUUAUACGGUAUGGAUUUUGGGGUUGAUUAAGGUAUUUCUUUGGAUGAUGUGGACAUUUCAGAGGCUAAAUCUCUUCGCUUUGGCUUACGACGCACUAGUGAGGCUAGUUUGUCUCACUGGUGGUGGACUCGGAUUCGUUGCAGGUUAUAUAGUUUGUCAAUGGCAAACAUCAUACACGUAUCGAGCAUUUUUGGAUUAUUUCAAAAACUGCAAUGCUAAUCUCAGCGGCACAAUUUCAAAAUGUAGCAUAUUUCAAGAUGUUGAACCAUGUUGCUGAUGUAUUAUCUAAAUUUACUUUUCAGUAUUCAGAGUCUUUAGUUUGGUUGGAAGAUUAUCCUAAUUUUUUAAAAUGUUAUCUGCAAGCUGAAUUCUGAAAUAAAAUAACCCUCAUGUAUUAAAAAAAUUUACUGUAUGAAUUUAGAUCUAGUAUUAAGUUGAACUGAGGGUAAUUAUUUAUAAUUUUUCUACCACACAUGUAUGUAUAGUAAUAUACAAUUAAAUUUUAAUUAAAUUUAUAUUCUCAUCCAAAUAUUAUCAAUUAUAUUUUUUUUAAAAAUUAGAAAAAAAAUUCAACACCACUCUCAAUUCAAAUACAUUUAUAAUUACAAUGAUAACAACAAAUUUAUUUGCUAGGUUCACUGGAAAUAUCUGUUAGUAUUAAUUAAUUUAUUUUCCAAAACAAUAGUAAGGAUUUGAUGAGCACUCCACAGUACAAAACAUUUUAAAUGAAAACCUACACGUGCUUUUGCUGGUACACGACCUGCAAUCCGGUCUCAGGCCAUGGGCCGGGCCGGGCCGGGCAAACUCAUGCUAGACUGACAGUCUGGCACGACACAACACCCUAGCACAGAAGCUAGCAUGGGCAUGCUUAUGGCCAUUUCUAAUUGGGCGAAAUCUAUUAAGUCAAUGCAAAAUCUAUUAAGUUUUAACUACUCAUUGAUUUGAUUUAUUGAAGUACGAUAAUGCCCCUGCUUAUGACGAUAUAUAUUAACUGACGUUUGUAUUGCUCCAAAUUUAUUUAUUGAGUUAAUAAUACGUAAUGAAAUGUUCAAAUACUUAAAUGGAUUUGAGUUUUGCCAAUCCUUUUUUUUUUCCUUUGCUUUCCGAUCUCAAAAUGUAAAUUUUGGAAAUUUCAUCUAAUUCAUUUUAUUGCAUUGCUGCUGAGUGAAAUCUUCAUUCAAGAAAUAAAAUUUUCAAGAUAAUUAAUUUUUAUUAAGUAGUCACUACACUAAAAAUCUAUAAAUUCAAUAGCCACCAAUAACUCAAACAAUGUCUACUACAAAUACAUAGGGCACUCUCUGUUUCCUUUUUCAAUUCAAAAUCUUAGAAAGAUUUCACAAUUGAAUAAAUCAGUGCAUUAAUUCUAAUUAUUAUGCUACUUCUUUUUGUUAUUAUUAUUUAGCUUAAUGUCAACCAGAGUUUCAUCCUACUCAUGUGAACAAAGUUUGAACCUUGAAUCUAUUGUUUUUAACAGAAAGGAUUUUAUAAUUUCAAACAGAUGAUACCUACAAAAGUUACAAUGCUACUUUGAUAUGGUACAGUUACAAAAUUUUAUAAAACUUACAAAAAUACUAAAAUGUUCAUAUACGGUACAAUCUCUAUAAAAUGAUAUUGUUGGAACUAGGAAAAUUUUUUAUCCUGAUGAUGGUUAUUUAUUAAUUAAUGAAGAAUUUGUUAAUUUAUUGGUAAAUUAAUGAAUAUUUAUUAAUUUAAGACGAGUAUUACUUUUUAAUUACUUGUGUUAUUUAGGCAUGUGUAGUAUUCUUUUCACAAAUAUUCGUGCAUGAAUUUCAAAAGUUAUCAUAUACAUACAAAAAAUUCUAAUAAAUGUAAUGAACAUAUACAUAGAAGCACAAAAUAAUGUAAGUACAUUGUACAUAGUUUCAAAUUUAGUACCCUCUGAAGAUAAAGUGUUUCAGAUGCUUAGAGUACAUAGAUUAAAAAGUCUAUAAGUACAUUGGUCAUUAGUGUCAAAUUAUUUUACGCAUAUUUUUAGAAAAGAGUUUAAUUAAAAAAAUUAUAGUUUUUAAGAAAACAAUCCUAAUUAAAUGUAAUGAAUUUUAUAUGUUAUUUAUUAUUGAUAUUUCUUGUAAUUAACUAAUUAUUAAUUUAUAUUUUUAUUGGACCCUAAAGGAUUCAUGUAAAAAAAAAUUUAUUUUAUGCAUUUAUCAAAAUUGUUAAUUUAGUGCAAUGACCAAGUCAGGACCACAAGAUUUUAUUAUUUAAAAAAAUUAUUAAUAAUUUUUAGACUUUUCAUAAGUUUUAAAUUUAUUAAUUUUUAAUUUUUAGUACAUCAAUUUAUUGAAUAUUUAUUCAUCGAUGUCUUACAGAAGAUUUAAAUAAUUUGUGAUAAAGUAAACGAGUUUUCAUUAGUGGUGUCAAAUUUCUGAACCUCUAUUUUUGAUAAAAGCAGCACAGCCGUUAAUAAAAAAUGAAAACGUUUGCAUUCAUUUAGAUUGCAUGAGUGGGCAAACUCAUAGUUGAGUGAUUACAUGUUUGCUCUCGUAGGAUGGCCUUCAGGAGUGGCUUUAGGUAUAGGCGAACAAGACCAUCGCCUAAGGCCUCAUAUUUUAAGAAGGUCUCAUUUUUUGAAUAUUUCUUUAAUAAUUCUCUAAUUAAUAAAAUAUUUUUAAUACGCAUUUCAAGAAAUCAAAAAGUUUAUUAGAUAUCUCUCUAUUCUUAAUUAUUCUAUAAUGAAGAAUUAUUUUUUUUAUAAAAAAUCUAUAUUUGGGAACCUUAAUUUUAAAGAAAUAUAAUUAAUAAUAUUCUUUAAGCUUCAUUCCUUUCAAUUAUUCAAUAUCAGCAUAUUUGACUUUUAAUUUUUUUUAAUUUCUAUUAAAAAUCUCAUAAUGUCAAGAAUUAGUAAAUGAAAAAAAUUUCUUGUUCUCUUCUCUACAAAUAAAAUUAUUAUAUUAAUUGGUUCAUUUAAAAUAAUUAGUUUCUUAAAAUAUAAAGUCCAUUUUUAUUUUUGAACAUCAACUUAUCAUUUUAAAAUUUGUAUAUUCUAUCAUUCUAAAUAUUCUAUUUGAAAAUAAAAUUGUUUUUAUUUAUUUGUUUGUUUGUUUUUUAACGGUUUUAAUGGAAUAAAAAAAUCAAUCUUCUUGACUAUUUUUUAGGUUUUAUUUUUUUUAUUAUUGUUGAAAUUCAAGAAUUAAAGAUGGAAUAAAUUUUGAUCCUUUUUAUAUGUCUUUGAGUAUUAAAAUUAAAAAAUAAUAGAGGUCUCAUAAAAAAAUUUCGCCUAAGGCCCCUCAAACUCUAAAGCCGGCCCUGAUGGCCUUGGCUACCCAAGUUAUUAAAAGGAAUUGAAAAUUUACCCAUUUUGUAAAUUUAUGUUUAGCCUCCUUAUUUUUCUAAAGGGAGAUUGAAAGUUUGUAUCCUAUUGAAAUGAAUAUAUAUCACAUACCUUCUACUAUUUUUAUAAUAUUUAAUAACCCUGUUGGCAUAAAAAUUUAAAAAAAAAGAAGAGAAGUAAAUAAGUCAUUUGCUCGAUAUUUGGUAUUGGAAAUAUAAAAUUAUUAGAAGAAAAAUAUUAAAAGAAAUAAAGUACAAGAAAAAUAUCUUGUGAUAAAUUUUUUAUUCAUAUCAAAAUCUAGGAAAUGUACUUAAUUUUUUUUUAUAUAUUUUAUUUUAUUUAUAAUAAAUAAAAAUAAAAGUGUAAUAGAAAAUAAGAGUAAUAUUAUAAAAUAAUGGUGCCAGGUGAUUAUUAGAUAUUAUGAAAAUAAUAAGGGUAUAAGUAAUAUAUACUCAUUUCAAUAGGGAGGAAACUUACCAUCACCCUUUUUCUAGGCAAUUUCAUCCGUAUAGCAUCUAUGUAUGGUUUAUUUAUCAUAGUCCCGUUGUUGGCUUCUUCAAUUUUAUAUUCAUAUUAUACAUUUUCUGAAUGGAGUUGACUAUCACAAUAAUUUGAUCUUCUUCGUACUUUGAAAUGAAAAUGUUGCCACUAAUGAGGAAAAUGAUGAACCAAAAUACCAACAUGAGAAAAAAUUUUAUUAUUCGUAAACGUGCAACGUUCGUGCAACUUUUAUUAUUACAACUUAAUUUAUUCACUUAUUAAAGCAUGCGUACAACCCUAAAACGAAACAAACUUUAUUUUUAACUGCAAGCAUUUGCGGAGCUCUCAGCAGCUCGAUCUUCAAACCUUUUUAAACACAACUUUUAACGGAACAUCACUCAAAGCCAGACGCCGCACCCCACCAUUAAUAAAAAUGCCAACAUCUCUGCACAAACCUCUGCAGAAAUUACAAACCGAAGGACAGAAAACAAGCUUGUAAUCGCCAUAAAACUUCUCAAUCUUAAACCAAUUUCUCAUGGUUCUGGGGCCGGGAUUGCCUUCAACUCCCCCAGUGGUCACAAGCCACUGCCCUAAUGCCGCAUCAAAAUUGUCAAGCUUCCACACUGUGGACUGCGCACAACUUGUUGCAGCGUCAAAUUUGAUGUUAAAGUCAGUGGACUCACGAACAACGCCCUUUUUAGGGUUAACGGGCGAAAAUGUUACCGGCAAACCAUUUCUAAAUGAGUGCUGCUCUUGAACAACAUCUAGGGGACAUGUCUUAUUGUUGCUUCUGCCAGCAAGUGUAAGCCCGCCGCCUUGGCCCUUUGUAACGGGCAAGAUGUAGUACUUGCUGCCAGCUCGGAGCUUCUUACCGGCGACGUCCAGCACCGGAUCAGGUGAAGCAUUGCCCCUGACAGGCAAUGGCGUUGCAAUGAAGGCAAAGAGAAGAAUCAGCGAGGUUAAGACUAGUGUGCUUCUCAUUGUUAUAUCGUUAUAUUUUUUGUUCUUAUCUUUUGUUGAUGCGUGUAAACAGCCCUUAUGAGGCCAAAUUUAUAGAGUUAGGCUAGUAUAGUUAAUUAACGGACAGCAAGUUGGUUUGAUUCGCCUAAUGUCCGAUUCGAGAGGCCAAUGGUCGCCCACAAGACAAGAGCGGAUUAUGACAUUCUGCUUUGUGAACUGUAAUUAUUAUUUUUUUUCCCGCCUAAACAGCCUGAUCGGAAGAUUUAAUACAAAUUCAACAAUAGAAAGCGUAGUUUAGUAAGAAAGUCAAAGAUUUAGUUUAGAAUUAUAAGUCAAUAAUCUUACCUUUUCCCUUACACUAAAUUUAAUCGAAUUUAGAUCUGAUUCCUCUGUCUUUGUAAAUGGUUUUGUAAUUUUGUUUAAAUCGCAUAGUAUAUAUGUUUAAUUUUAAGGACAUGUUUAUUUUCUUUUUGUGCUGAAGUUAGUCUCGUCAAGCUAGGUGUUUAUCGAAAAAUUAAAUUAGCAAAGAAAUGAUAAAGCAUAUGUUUAGGGAGGCACAACUUGGCCCCUCUUCUUGAAUAUAAAAAUUGCACCAAGAAUUUGAAAACAAGAAAUGAUGUAGAAAGACAUUUAGAUGAUGAUAUCAAAACAUGUUACUAGCAGAUCUAUUGGCUAAGCUCAUAUGGAGAUGCUUGUUAGUAUUAAAUUAUGUGAAAUUAUGAGUUGUAUACCCUAAAUUUUUCAUGUUAUAAAAAAUAUUAUGUAAUUUUGAAUUUCUUUGAUUUUCCACUCUAAGUUUGUAAAUUAUAACCGUAUACAAACUCAAGGUGGAAAAUCAAAUAAAUUCAAAUUUUUAUUGUAUUUUUUUAUAACAUGGUGAACUUAAGGUAUAUAGCUUAUAAUUUUUCUAAGUUUUAUUUUAUUAUUUACAGUGAAAAGUCAAAAAUGCCUUUGAAUUCAAGGGUAAAAUUAUCUUUUCACUUAGAUUCUUUUGAAUAUUAUAAUAGUGUUAACAUUUUGGUGGGCGGUAAUACAAUUUACAAGCUUAGGGUGAAAAUUCAAAUAAAUUCAAAAUUUUGUAUUAUUUUUUAUAGUAAGGUAAACUUAGUAUAUAUAGUAAAUAAUUUUCCUUUAUUUAUUAAUGUUUAGGCCCUUUUUUUAGCCCAAACGGACUACAAUAUUAAUGAAUUUGUCAUUAAAAGGGAUUGGAGUAGGGAUAGCGAAUUGAUCCAUCCAAGUUGGAUAUCCAUAUAUCCAAUCUAAUUGGGUUAGAUAAUAUCUAUCCGAUGCGUCUUGGAUAUGGAUAUGAUUUUUUUUAAGAGUGAUACUAUCAUGUAUGUCAAUGGGGCGGGUUCGGGUGGGGAUCAUGAUCCCCGAACCCGAAACCGAUUUAGAAGCAAUCCCCCGAACCCGCCCCAUACCCGAAAAAUUGUAAUGGGGAUUGUUUGGGUACAUCCCCGAAAAUCCCCGAAUUGAGCGAGGAUUAAAACGGGGACCCGAUCCCCAUUUUUUAAAUAAUAAUUUCUAAAUAUUUCAGUUUUCCUUUUUUCUUAAAUAAUAAUAAUUCUAACAACCUCCAUAUUUAGAAAUAAAAUUACAAAUAAUCAAAUUUCAUAUUAGAAAUAAAAUUACAAGUGAUCAAAUUUUAACAACCUCCACAUAAAUAAAAACAUAAUAAUUUUAAGCCUUCAACAUAAUUACAAAUGAUUAAAUUUUAUACGACAAAUCAAAAUAAUUUUAAGUCUUCAACAUAAACUUGUAGCCAUCACCAUUGAUACACAUUCUAAGAUUCUUCAUAAACCUAUAACAACAUAAACAAAAAAAAAAUUAAUAAAAACAUGUUUUAACAAUUCAACUUAAUAAAUUCUUGACAAGAUAAUAUAAACUAAAACUAUAUACCUCUACGGCCUCUACAUAUGUUUCAAUCUCUGGCUCCUCAUCAAGAAUCUUGGCAUAUGCUGGAGAGGUUGAUGCCACAACUACUUAAAAAAUAUAAAUAUAAAUAUCAAGUUAAUUAUUAGUUAAUUUAAAUAAAUAAAAAUACAAAAAUUAAAAUGCAAACCAUAUACCUCCACAAAGAGCACGUAUCCAACUUUGACUACACAUCAAAGCCUCCAAUGUGCUUGGAUGAAGUCUAUUGCGAUAUGGGCUUACAAAUCGACCACCAGUGCUGAAAGCAGAUUCAGAAGCUACAGUGGUAACUGGAAUAGCCAAAAUAUCUCUUGCAAUUUGAGACAAUAUCGGAUAGUUACCACCAUUCACCUUCCACCAAGCUAAAACAUCAAAUUCUUCCUCAACAUUAAAUGGUACUAACUUUUCACCCAAAUAAGUGUCUAGUUCAUCUUUUACUUCCUCAUUACCAACAUUAACAAAACUAGUAAACCCCAAAAUCCAUUCAGUUGAACCCUUAUAGGAACCCGAACUCGGCAUAGAAUGAGAAGUACUUAAAGAACUAGAACUAUAUCCAGGAGAACUAGCAGCUGAUGCAUAUCUAGCUUUGUACUCUUUCACUAUACUUUGACAAUCACCAUACACUAUCUGGACACGAGAAGUAGCAUCAUCCUCAUAAAUCAUGGAAAAGUAAUAUUCAACCAACCUAAUUUUGAACCUAGGAUCAAAGAUACAUGCAAUAGACAAUAUUCCACUCAUGUCAUGCCAAUACUUAUCGAACUUUUCAAUCAUUUUCUAUGCCAUGAUUCUAAAUUCAUCAUACCUAGGAGUUGAAACCCAUUCAUUCAGGCACAAUCUAAUAUCACACACAUGGCGCAGAAAUAGAUUAGAUGUUGGAUAACUAGUACCAGAAAAUAAUGUUGUACAAUCAUAAAAACAUUUCAAAUCAUUUUCUAAGGCACUAGCCAAUUGCCAAUCAUGCUCACUAGGCAAACACUUAUACUGUCCAUCAAUAUUCUUCAAUCGACAAAAAACGUUCUUAUAAUGUAAUGCAGAGCAUAUCAUGAGAUAAGUAGAAUUCCACCUAGUUGGACAGUCUUGUACUAGUUUUCUACCAGAAGUAAUGCCUAAUUUACGUGCAUUCUCAUCAAAUGUCGAUUUCCUUUUAGUUGAUCCUGACCAAAAAAUAACACUCUCACGAAUGUUUGCAAUUAGAUCACCAAUCACACUUAAACCAUCCUUUACAAUCAAAUUUAGAAUGUGGGCACAACAACGAACAUGAAACUUUUGUCCACCCAAAAUGAGAUCACUAAUAAUUAAAAAAAUCAUAACAGUAAGAAUUUUACCUCAAAAGUAUGCUUCGUAAUGCCCAAGCAUCGUCAAUAAAGUGUGCAGUGAUUGCCAUAUAUGCUUUUGUUUGAUUUUCUGCAGUCCACAUAUCAGUUGUAAUGGCAAUUCUACCUUGAGUUUGCUCCAAUACACUGAUAUAUUUGGCCCUUUCACACUCAUACAUGUCUAAAAUCUCCUUCUUGAUAGUAUUUCGAGACACCGGCUUCCACAAUUGAUUUAGAGAAGACAUAACAUCCCUCAGACCUUGAUGCUCUACAAUGCUCAGAGGGUACUCAUGCAUGACAAUAGCACGUGCCAUUUUUCUCCUCGUAACAUUAGGAUCAAAAUGAGUUUCUACUGCAUUCUUCCCUUUUUCACCAGCAGCUUUCUUUGCCGGUGGGAAUUCUGUGGCCUCUAUUUCCUUUUUCACUUGACAUGUCUUCAAAUGAUCGUGCAAGUGCUUUGUUCCAUCACUACUCCUUGCUACCAAUGCAUUUUUACAAUAAUUGCAGACAGCCUUAUCAAUCAAGUUAAUUUUUUUCUUCUUGAAAUGCUCCCAUACAAUUGAUCUCAACCUUCCUCUACGUCGCAACCCACCAUGAGUAACACUGGCGGCUGAUUCACCUUGAGUUUGAUUGCCUUCAUCAUCCAUUAAGUGUGGUGUGGGCAAAGAACUUGACAUAUUAAAUGUCGAACCUACAAUCAAGCCAAUAAGCAAAAUUUAAAAAUAAAAAUAAAACUAGCAUUUUACUAGAAGCAAACAAUUAAGAACUAUGCAGAUACAAAACAUUAAAUCUGAUUUUACCAUGUACUGGAUUUAAAACCAACUAGUAUUAUUCGUACACGGAUUGAGAAAGGGAAAGUUCCAGGCACGUGCACUUUGGUCAUUCACAGAAAAAAAAGAGUAGAACAAAAAUGCCUUAAAGGUUCGAAGCAACUAAUUGUAUUUUACGCUUCUACUUUUAAAUAUUUCUCCCUUUUCUUAAAACAGACAAGUCUAAUUCAUCUUUCCAGAAAGUAUUUGGAUGAAAACACCAAGAUAAUAAAAUCUCACAGAAUCUAUUUUUCUAUCUUAUUUAUUUAUUUACUAAUCAGACAAAAAAUGAAAACAAAGUCAUAAGCAAUUUGAUUCAUCAAGUCUAUCAUAUGUUUCUAGAGAAAUCUGGAAAGGAUAACAAUUUCAAUUCUUCUUGAUAAAUUUUGGUGGCAUUCUGAAUGCGUUGGAAGGAUAUGUUCAUUUUGGGUGUCAAUUUCAUUUCCAUUUAGUAAGGAAGAUGAGACAUAGCAUGUGGCUUCCAUUAAACGUGAUAUGUUGCUCUCUUAUUGCUUCCCACGUUUAUGUCCUUCACAAUUCAAUUAAUUCAAGAAUUACUUACAGGACAACAAUUUCUUCUAUCAAUUAAUUCUUGGCCCAUGCAAUGCCAAAAAAAAAAAAAAAAAAAGACUACUUCGCUAGACACCUAACCCUACAAUGCAUAUGAAUAUACUCUCUUCAUCCUCCUUCGCCCCCUUAUCUUCUGUACUUAAAGCUUGUGCCCUGUUGAAAACAUUUCGACUAGGCAAGCAAGUACAUGGUUUGGUUGUUGUUUUGGGACGUGAUUUGGUAUUUUUGAGACCCAGAUGUGCAAUGUAAUGCUAGAUAUGAUGAACAAUACCGGCCCUAUCAACUCAUUAAGAAUUCUAAAAUUAGCAAUUACCAUUCCAGAGAUACCGAACAAAGAUAAUCCUAGAGCAAGGGCAUCUACUGCAUAUGAAUUCCACUGAUUGUUAAAGAGACAAUGGACUAAAUGUAAACCUUUCGAAGCUGACAAAUAGCUGCAAAGUCAAAAAGCCUCUUUCGACUCCAUCAACUUUGAAGCUGGAGCGCAUUUCAGCAAACAUUGUAAAUAGCCAUCUCCAUCAACUCAAUGACUCAUUACUGACAAACAAACACACGCACAGAGACACCCAAAUCAAUGAAACCAGAUGCAAUUCGAAAUAAAUAAACAAAGAAAGAAAAGUGGAAAAGGCAAAAACCUUGCUGCAGGAGAACCAACAGGUGCAGCUGAGUGUUGAUCAGUGACGACGAACGGUGGCGGCUGAGCGGUUGACCGGCUGUUAGUGACGACGGCAGCUCACGAACUGUUUCUUUCGGGGAAAAAAAUUGAUUCGAUGGCAUUACAAUUUCAAAGUUUAAAAUAUUAGAUUUUUUUUUUGUUUUUAUUUUCGGGUUGAGUUAGGGGAUCCGGAAAAUCCCCAAACCCGAACCCGAAAAGUUUUGGGAUUUUAGACCCAUACCCAAAUUGACCCGAAUUUAUUUUUAGACUUUUUCGGGGCCCCAUACCCACCCCAAAUUAAUUAGGGCCCCGCGGGUUUGGAGCCCCGCGGGUAUUGUUGCCAACUCUAGAUACUAUUGGCACCCCUCAAUAGUUCCUAUGAAACUCCCCUACUAUGUAUUUUACACAUUUAACCUUGAUUGAAAUUAUAAGAACUCUAAUUCAAAUAAAAAAGAAAUUAUAAGAAUUCUUUACACCCCUAUAUUAUUAAGUAGCGAAUUGUUUAAAAAAACAAAACAAAUUGAACCAUAAAAUAACAAACCUAAGCAAAAGAGGCAUAAAUAUAAUUUUUCCCUUAACACGUAGAACUAGCAAAGUAGCAAUCAAAGGGGUAUUUAAUACUUUCAUUAAGGAAGAGUGGAGGUUUAUUAGUCAUGGUGGUUUAUUCUUUAAAUUUCAUUUACCGGUUAUGGAAAAUGUUGUUUAUUGAGUGUUAUAUCUAGCCGAAUGUUACUACUGGUCAUGAGAUUUAAAAAAAAAUAUUUUAGGGUUCAAUGAGGAGGAAGAAGAUGGGGCUAUUUGAGGAAUUAAAAUGAGUGUUAUUAGUGAAAUAUUAAUUUUAGUACUUUAAUUAAUGGGUACGUUCAAAAUAGGGGCUUUAUGAGAUUAUUAGAGGGGUGUUAAUAGCUCCACUCUUUUUUUAAAUAUAUAAUUAGAUAUUGGAUGGAUCUGAAUAUUAGAUGUGAAUCCAUUUAUCUAAUUGGGCUAAAAAAUAAUAUUUUAUAAAAUUAAAAUGAAGUGAAGAAUUAUAUUUGCCAUAAUAUUCAUUUACCCGAAUGUCAUACCCUUUUCUAUUUUUUAUUUAGCAAAUCCUAGGUUAUCUCUUUUUACUUCACACGUCAGCUACUAGUUGCUCGCGAGCCAUUGAUCACACCGGUUGUUGCUUAUUCACGGGACAUUGGUAUUAGUUUAUUCCCGACUUUGCUAUCUCCUCUUCAGCGUUACAGCUUCUUCUUUUUCUUAUUUAACAUAUCUUUCUUUUUAUCUUUCUCUCAGUGCAUUAAUAACUACAUGUGUUAGCUUUUAUUUUAUGUCUGUGUUUUGAUAUCAAUUGAUGGUCCAAAUGUUGCGUGAACUGUGGAAGUUUUCUUCUUUGCUUGAGUUAAAUGAAACAUUUGAAAUAUACUGAUAAUUUGGUGUUCGCAUGUUAAUUUAUGGAUAAUUCGACAUAAUUCACAUGUAGAAAUUAUUUUUGAAAUUUAUGGGCUAAAUAAAUUUUAUGGACUAAAAAUUCAUUUCAAGCACCUGCCAUUUCUUGUAAACUAAUACUUACUAGGUAAAAAUGGUUAUUCUUUAAAUUACUUUUAUUUGUGAGUGUAUAAUUUGAUGAAUAGUGGAUUUGAAAUAUUCCGUAAACAACACUUUGGUCAAUAUUUGUGAGUGCAAGAUUUGAUGUUCCAUGCCAACACAUGUAGUAGAAUUUAGUAUGGGUGGUCGAUUUUUAAUCCCACAUCGCAGUAGACUUCAUCCUAGUAUAUUAGAGACUUUAGUGUGUGCUCAGAAUUAGAUAUGAGUUCAAAUAAAAGGUAUCAAACUCAUCUGAGUUCCACAUUUUAUUUAAGUUUGAUAACAUUUGUUUACAUUCUAUUUCAAAACCACUUUUAUUUUUUUUAACCAAAAAAAAAAAGAAAAACGGAAGUCCUAAAGAUAAGCUAAUAACAAAGAAGAAAUAAAUAGAGAAGUGAUUAAUAAUGAUGAUGAAUAGGAGACAUAGCACAUGUUUUGAAUAGUGCUUAUUUUUUCUUUUUUUGUACAUGCGCUUGAUGCUCAUUAUGAUGCUAUCAUGGUCAUACAUAAUACAAACUAUUUACUUAUUUAAUGCUUUAAUUGUAUUAAUUUGCAGAUUUAUGAUGAUGAUCAGAUUCGAGAUUGAAAGCUUAAUUGUAAGUCAUUACAAACAAGCCUUAUUAGAAGGCUUUUGUGGAUUUGUAAUUCCAAAUGAUAGGUUCUUUUUUGUGGAUUUGUAGUUAUGAUAUUUGUUAUUUGGAUGUUUAUUUUUUCUAAUUUAGUAUUAAAAUCUGAUAGUGAUUUAACUAUUUUAUAUUAUUAUUUUAUAUUUCAUAUUUUUUUGCUUUAUUUUCAUAUGAUAAAAAUUAAAUAUCCGUGGAUAUUCAUAUCCAUAUCCAUAUCAAAUUUUAAAAAUUAGAUAUGAAUAUGGACAUAUCCAUCAUAGCUAAUUAUGAAUUUACAUUUGGAUGGAUACUUGCCAUUGAUAGAUUGAAGUAGCUUGAUCAAAUGGCGCUCGACGAACUAGAUAUUGGUAGGAUGGUGUGUGUGUGUGUGCGCGCGCGCGCGUGCGCAUGCGCGGGUUCGUAUGUUUAUGAGAAUUGACAAUCAAUAAGAAAAUGCUUUAUUAUAUACUUAACAAAAGUGCUAGGCGUGUUUGAUAUCUCGAAAACAACAUCACCAUCCAUUAAUAACACUCCUCUUACAUUUUUGAACGCCGUCUUUUGAAGGGGGGACAAUGGGUUGAUGGGUUGAAUUUGUGUCAAAUCCUAAAUAACUUGUUGUUAAGUUUUAGAAUUUAAAUUCAAUCUAUUUAUUAAAUGAAUAAUAAUAUAAAUUAUUUUUUGAUUUGAUUCCUUUAUCUUUAAGUAACAAAUGAAUCUAAUCGAAUUUUGAUUGGUUUAAUUUGUUCAUCUAUAAUCAUACUUUUAUUUUUUCUUAUUCAUCAGUUAAUUACAAAACUAAUGUUACCGCUUAAUGAUUUUUAUAUUAAAUUUAAAAUUAUAAAUUUAUCUUAAUUAACAAAUAUUACUUUUUGAAUAUGAAUUCCUUAGGAAGCAAAGAAUCAGAAUUUUAUUUUGAAAAUAAAAUGCUAAACUCCGAAAUAAUCCACUCUCCUAUAUCAGUCGUCCUUAGUAUUUCUUAUUUUACCAUUUACUCUCUGAAUAUGAUAUAAUAAUAAAUAAUCACUCACCACCAAUGAUUUGCAGAUGAAGAAGAUAGAUCAAAUGGAACACAUGAAAUACAUUUGGCGCAAAAAUAUGGGCUCUAAUCAGGAAAAUGAUGAACCAAAAUACCAACACGAAGAAAAGUUUUUAUUGUCGGUAAACAUGCAACAUCAAUGCAAAUUUUAUUAUUACGACUUUAUUCAUUUAUAAAAGCAUGCGUAUAACUUUGAAACGAAACA